RNAcentral lists this long non-coding RNA (61963 nucleotides) under Triticum aestivum (bread wheat). RNAcentral describes it as "long non-coding RNA (TAES_LNC002030)". The record is from RNAcentral. Lineage: Eukaryota; Viridiplantae; Streptophyta; Magnoliopsida; Poales; Poaceae.
UAUUUUUUUGUAUAUGUAGUCUCUUAGGUUACUUUGUCAUAUGGUUUUGUGAUACUUCAAUAUAAAUGGUUUUGUGCACUCAUAGAUACAGAGGUCGGGUGUUGAACCCCAUUUCAAAAAAGGUGUCAUCCUAAUUUCAAAUGUGUAACAGGUAGAUUGACUGGUCUAUCUACCAUCCAAAAAGUAGCUUGCACUUUGCAGGAUGCACUACUUUUACACAGAUGUUUCUAGAGAUGUUACCAUGGUGGUGAGAAAUGUCAUCGUGUUGGAGAGAAAACUUGGAUGAACUCGACACUAAUUAGCGGGGACGGAUGGCUGCAUGCAUCCAGCGAUGUAGACUUGCAAGAUAUGCAAUUGCAUCUCUUAAUUCAUGGAGCAACCUGACAGAGUAAUGGUAGAUGCAGAACUUCAACAUUGGGUCUUUGGCUAAAUCUCAAUGAUAGCCCCGACAAAGUUAAGUUUAUGAUUGGCACCAAGUUUUUUGGGGACCUUUAUUUGCAGUUGAAAGCUACUAACCUUGUUGUAUACAGAGGGAUUUCAAAAGCUAUAAUGCCUUUGAAGAUUAAAAUCUUUUUAUGGAUGCUGAUUAGGAAUAGUGUCUUGACCAAAGAGAAUAUCCUCCAAAAAGGUUCUACUAGGAAUAGCCCGUGAUAUUUCUAUGGCCUUGCUGAGAUUGUCAAAUAUUUGUUUUUUUAGUGUAGCCUGAUGGCAGUUGGAACUACAUUGGUAUUUCCCCAAAGAGGGAGGGAUGAUGUAGCACAACGACGAUAGGUAUUUCUCUCAGUUAUGAAACCAAGGUAUCGAACCAGUAGGAGAACCAAGCAACACAACAUAAACAACACCUGCACGUAAAUAACAACACCUCGCAACCCGACGAGUUAAAGGGGUUGUCAAUCCCUUUCGGGGUACGGCUCCUCAAGAUAGGCAAGCGGACGUGAGGUAAAUUAUAGUAGAUUGAUAGAUCAAACGCAAAAUAAAAUAAAUAAAGAUAAAACGCAGCAAGGUAUUUUUCUAUUUUUGGGUUUAAUAGAUCUGAAUAAAAAGGCAAAGGAAAAGUAGAUCGCAAGGCAAAUAUAUAAGAAAUAAAACCCGGGGGCCGUAGGUUUCACUAGUGGUUUCUUGAUACGUCCAUUUUGCAUCAUGCUUUUAUAUCGAUAUUCAUUGCAUUAUGGGCUGUUAUUACACAUUAUGUCACAAUACUUAUGCCUAUUCUCUCUUAUUUUAUAAGGUUUACAUAAAGGGGGAGAAUGCCGGCAACUGGGAUUCCAGGCUGGAAAAGGAGCAAAUAUUAGAGACCUAUUCUGCACAGCUCCAAAAGUCCUAAAACUUCACGAAAGAUGUUUUCAGAAUAUAUAAAAAAUACUGAGCGCAAGAAGUUCACCAGGGGGCCACACCCUGCCCAUGAGGGUGGGGGCGCGCCCUACCCCCUAGGUGCGCCCCCUACCUCAUGGGCCCCCUGGUGGCCCUCCGAUGGCCAUCUUCUGCUAUAUGGAGUCUUUCGAUGAGAAAAAAAUCAUAAGCCAUCUUUCCGGACGAGACUCCGCCGCCACGAGGCGGAACCUUGGCGGAACCAAUUUAGGGCUCUGGCGGAGCUGUUCUGCCGGGGAAACUUCCCUUCGGGAGGGGAAAAUCAUCGCCAUCGACAUCACCAACACUCCUCUCAUCGGGAGAGGGCAAUCUCCAUCAACAUCUUCACUAGCACCAUCUCCUCUCAAAACCCUAGUUCAUCUCUUGUAUCCAAUUCUUGUCUCCAAGUCCAGGAUUGGUACCCGUGGGUUGCUAGUAGUGUUAAUUACUCCUUGUAGUUGAUGCUAGUUGGUUUAUUUGGUGGAAGAUCAUAUGUUCAGAUCCUAUAUACAUAUUAAUACCCCUCUGAUUAUGAACAUGAAUAUGCUUUGUGAGUAGUUACGUUUGUUCCUGAGGACAUGGGAGAAGUCUUGCUAUUAGUAGUCAUGUGAAUUUGGUAUUCGUUCGAUAUUUUGAUGAGAUGUAUGUUGUCUCUCCUCUAGUGGUGUUAUGUGAACGUCGACUACAUGACACUUCACCAUUAUUUGGGCCUAGAGGAAGGCAUUGGGAAGUAAUAAGUAGAUGAUGGGUUGCUAGAGUGACAGAAGCUUAAACCCUAGUUUAUGCGUUGCUUCGUAAGGGGUUGAUUUGGAUCCAUAUGUUUCAUGCUAUGGUUAGGUUUACCUUAAUACUUUUGUUGUAGUUGCGGAUGCUUGCAAUAGAGGUUAAUCAUAAGUGGGAUGCUUGUCCAAGUAAGGGCAGCACCCAAGCACCGGUCCACCCACAUACCAAAUUAUCAAAGUACCGAACGCGAAUCAUAUGAACGUGAUGAAAACUAGCUUGACGAUAAUACCCAUGUGUCCUCGGGAGCGCUUUACAUCAUAUAAGAGUUUGUCCAGGAUUGUCCUUUGCUACAAAAGGGAUUGGGCCACCUUGCUGAACUUUAUUUACUUUUGUUGCUUGUUACUCGUUACAAAUUGUCCUAUCACAAAACUAUCUAUUACCUAUUAUUUCAGUGCUUGCAGAGAAUACCUUGCUGAAAACCGCUUAUCAUUUCCUUCUGCUCCUUGUUGGGUUCUACACUCUUACUUAUCGAAAGGACUACGAUAGAUCCCCUACACUUGUGGGUCAUCAAGACUCUUUUCUGGCGCCAUUGCCGGGGAGUGAAGCGCCUUUGGUAAGGAAAAAUUUAUAUAGUGUGCUGAAAUUUACUAUCACUUGUUACUAUGGAAAGUAAUCCUUUGAGGGGCUUGUUCGGGGUAUCUUCACCCCGACCAGUAGAGCAAAGAGUUGAUCCUCAACCUACUGAACCUACUGAAAAUGAAAAUGUCUGCUUUGAAAUUCCUUCGGGUAUGAUAGAAAAACCACUAGCUAAUCCUUUUGCAGGAGACGGAACAGUGCAUCCUGAUGAGCACCUAAUACAUGUGGAUGAAGUUUGUGGAUUAUUUAAGCUUGCAGGUGUACCCGAAGAUGUUAUUAAUAAGAAGGUCUUCCCUUUAUCUUUGAAGGAAGAUGCAUUGACAUGGUAUACGCUAUGUGAUGAUAUGGGGUCAUGGAACUACAAACGAUUGAAAUUGGAAUUUCAUAAGAAGUUUUAUCCUAUGCAUCUUGUUCAUCGUGAUCGCAAUUAUAUAUAUAAUGUUUGGCCUCGCGAAGGAGAAAGCAUCGCUCAAGCUUGGGGAAGGCUUAAAUUAAUGUUAUAUUCAUGCCCCAAUCAUGAGCUCUCAAGAGAAAUGAUUAUUCAAAAUUUAUAUGCUCGGCUUUCUGAUAACAAUCGCACCAUGCUCGAUACUUCUUGUGCUGGCUCUUUUAUGACGAAGACUAUUGAAUUCAAAUGGGAGUUAUUGGAAAGAAUUAAACGCAACUCUGAAGAUUGGGACCUCGACGAAGGUAAGGAGUGAGGUAUGACACCUAAAUUUGAUUGUGUUAAAUCUUUUAUGGAUACCGAUGUUUUCCGUAAAUUUAGCACUAAAUAUGGACUUGACUCUGAGAUAGUAGCUUCUUUCUGUGAAUCUUUUUCUACUCAUGUUGAUCUCCCUAGGGAGAAGUGGUUUAAAUAUCAUCCUCGCAUAGAAGUAAAAGUAGCCGCACCUAUUAAAGUUGAAGAAAAGACUAUCACCUAUAAUGAUCCUAUUGUUCCUACUGCUUAUCUUGAGAAACCACAUUUCCCUGUUAGGAUAAAGGAUCAUGCUAAAGCUUCAACUGUGGUUCGUAAAAGCAAUAUUAGAACUUAUACACCUUCUGAGCAAAUUAAAGUUGAACCUAAUAUUGCUAUUGUUAAAGAUCUCUUGUCCGAUAAUAUUGAUGGGCAUGUUAUUCAUUUCCGUGAUGAGACUGCUAGAAUUUCUAAACCUUGUGCUAAAGAUAAACCUAGAUCUUUGGUAGGCAUGCAUGUUAUUUCUGUUAAAAUAGGAGAUCAUUGUUAUCAUGGCUUAUGUGAUAUGGGUGCCUGUGCUAGUGCUAUACCUCAUGACUUAUACAAAGAAAUUAUGCAUGAUAUUGCACCUGCUGAGAUAGAAGAUAUUGAUGUCACAAUUAAACUUGCCAAUAGAGAUACUAUUUCACCAAUUGGAAUUGUUAGAGAUGUUGAAGUCUUGUGUGGGAAAACUAAAUAUCCUGCUGAUUUUCUUUUUCUUGGUUCCCCACAAGAUAGCUUUUGUCCCAUUAUAUUUGGUAGACCCUGAUGUCUACUACACAACCUUCUUCUUGUAGACGUUGUUGGGCCUCCAAGUGCAGAGGUUUGUAGGACAGUAGCAAUUUUCCCUCAAGUGGAUGACCUAAGGUUUAUCAAUCCGUAGGAGGCGUAGGAUGAAGAUGGUCUCUCUCAAGCAACCCUGCAACCAAAUAACAAAGAGUCUCUUGUGUCCCCAACACACCCAAUACAAUGGUAAAUUGUAUAGGUGCACUAGUUCGGCGAAGAGAUGGUGAUACAAGUGGUAUAUGGAUGAUUGAUAUAUGUUUUUGUAAUCUGAAAAUAUAAAAACAGCAAGGUCACUAAUGAUAAAAGUGAGCGUAAACGGUAUUGCAAUGCGUGGAAAUAAGGCCUAGGGUUCAUACUUUCGCUAGUGUAAGUUCCCUCAACAAUACUAACAUAAUUGGAUCACAUAACUAUCCCUCAACAUGCAACAAAGAGUCACUCCAAAGUCACUAAUAGCGGAGAACGAACGAAGAGAUUAUGGUAGGGUACGAAACCACCUCAAAGUUAUUCUUUCCAAUCAAUCCAUUGGGCUAUUCCUAUAAGUGUCACAAACAGCCCUAGAGUUCGUACUAGAAUAACACCUUAAGACACAAAUCAACCAAAACCCUAAUGUCACCUAGAUACUCCAAUGUCACCUCAAGUAUCGGUGGGUAUGAUUAUACGAUAUGCGUCACACAAUCUCAGAUUCAUCUAUUCAACCAACACAAAGGACCUCAAAGAGUGCCCCAAAGUUCCUACAGGAGAAUCACGACGAAAACAUGUGCCAACCCCUAUGCAUAGGUUCAUGGGCGGAACCCGCAAGUUGAUCACCAAAACAUACAUCAAGUGAAUCACGUGAUAUCCCAUUGUCACCACAGAUAUCCAUGGCAAGACAUACAUCAAGUGUUCUCAAAUCUUUAAAGACUCAAUCCGAUAAGAUAACUCCAAAGGGGAAACUCAAUUCAUUACAAGAGAGUGGAGGGGGGAAGAAACAUCAUAGGAUCCAAAUAUAAUAGCAAAGCUCGCGAUACACCAAGAUCGUAUCAUCUCAAGAACACGAGAGAGAGAGAGAGAGAGAGAGAGAGAUCAAACACAUAGCUACUGGUACAUACCCUCAGCCCCGAGGGAGAACUACUCCCUCCUUGUUAGGGAUAUAACUAUUUGUGUAAGCCGCCCAGGAGGGGCCGGGUUACGCAAAGAGGGACUCAUCAGAAGAAGCCCAAGAUCAAGCAUGAAGAUGGUGGUUCAAUAAAGGGUCUAAAGCCCAUAGGCGACUUAAGGCCCAUAGUGGUAAACCGCCAUGAUGGCAUGACUUGUAUCAUAAGGUAGAAUUAACUAGUCACCGAGCCGGAGACUGUCUAUGAGCCGGCCGGGACUCUGUAGGCCGCAGGGCGUCAACCCGUGUAUAUAAGGGGACGACCCGUCGGCGGCUUAAGGGCAAGAAAACAACUGAUCGAGCCAGGCAUAGCAUAUCUCGCUCCCUGGUCAUCGAAACCUCAAGCAAUACCAACCCAACUAGACGUAGGCCUUCCUUCACCAUAAGGGGCUGAACUAGUAUAAACCUCUCGUGUCCUUUGUCCCGAUUAACCCCUUUAAGCUUCCUAGUUGCGAUGGCUCCAUGACUAAGUCCUUGCAAGAGGACAUCCGCCGUGACAAUUCCACGACAGUUGGCGCCCACCAUGGGGCCAGCACACGAUGGGUUCGAGUUCUUGAAGGGCAGCUUCGAAGGGCUCGAGGGAUACGCAGUUGGCCGGAUGACCAAGAGUCGUCGCGGCAAGAUCUACAUCGAUGACAAAGGCUGGGGCCCUGACGCCGGUUCAAUUGAGUAUGGCUACCGGGUCUCCUUUGGCGGAAUUCAUGUCUUCAUCGGCCGGAUUGGUGAGCCGGGCCCUGAGCCGGACAGCUGCACCGACCUCGUCGAGACGGCUCAGCGUGCGAAACCCGCCGGAGCUCAACCCGUCGUGAAGCGUGCCUUUGUGGGUUGCAUCCAUGGAGGUGAACUUCCUGAAGGAUCGGAAGGUGAUGGUGAGCCGGCCGUCCUCUCUGACGAUAAUUCAUCCGCCGGCUCAACAGAUUCGCUGUAUCAAGUUCAAGAUGGCGUGCUUGGGGGCUGUUCCGAUGGCAGCACUAUUCCGGACCUCUCAGCGUCGCCAAACCGGGCAGGAGUCUUCAUGGCUGGUACUCAACCGGGCCAAAAUUCUACGGCUUCAGCGGCAAAAACGUCCGGGUUAGGAGCAGCCGGGGCAGGAGGCCCUGUGCGCUCACCGGCUCAGGUGCUGAUAGAUCUCAUGGAUAAGCUUACGACUUUGUUAACUGUUACAGUCAUCCCUGCGAACCAAUCUGAGCAUGAGGCGGAGGUGGCACAGGUUCGCGACGAGAUCGCCCGGGUCAAAGAAACCUUAGCAGCUGAGGACGCUAGAUUAGCAGCAGAGCGGGCGGCUUUGGACGUACGGGCGCAGCAACUUCGGGCAGAGGCCUUGCAGCUCACGUUGAGCCUGAACGCAUCUAAUGAGGUAAUGAGGAGGAGACAUCAGAAAACUCAGUCCCGUUUACCUCAGAAUUAUGAUCCUCGGAAUCUCUUUGCUACACCCGGGGUCGGCCCAAGUAACCCGCCAGGUGCGAAUCAGCUUAUUACAUCCGGAGCGGGAGGUCCAGUCUGGCCUUAGGGGAUGGCAUCGCCUCACGGCAAUAUGGCACCGCCCAAUUACGUGCCAAUACCGCAGGGUCACUUCUCCAACCCCAUGGAGAACUUAAUUGCAUCAUCAGCACGUUUGGCGGCUCUCCCGGUAGAUGGGAAUGAUCCGACAGCGGUGGAAACCCGAAAGAUCAGAGAACUUGUCCAAAUAGCCCUGGCUCAGCAAGACCUACUCCUACAGCCGGGAUAGGAUUCACUCGACUCCACCGCCCUGGUUAGCUCCGCCUUGUCAAAAUCGGAGCCCGAGUUAUAGUAAGAACAUGGAAUCAGAGGCCUUGUCAAGUAACGCUCAGCGCUGGAACCAGCCCGGCGGGCAUAACCCGGUUCAGGAUUGGAUACGUCAGGAGGACGAGCGGGCCGCUCAGCUAGCGGCUCAGCUAGCAGCCCAACAGAACUCACCGGCUUACCUGACGACUUCCGUUGAAGCGGGGGUUGCUACUAGAACCGGAGGAGUUCCUUGUCUGGUACCGGCUUUACGUAAUGUAUGUCUGCCCAAGGAUUUCAAGGGGCCUCGGAAGGUGCCGAAUUAUACUGCCGAUUUACAGCCUGGGGCAUGGAUUGAAAGUUAUGAGAUGGCUAUGGAGCUGCUAGAGGUUAGUGAUGAGGCGAUGGCUAAAUAUUUCACCAUGAUGCUGGACGGAACGGCCCGUUCUUGGUUAAAGGGUUUGCCACCCAACUCCAUUAGUUCAUGGGCAGAGCUAAAAGCCCGUUUCAUCCAGAACUUCAAAGAUACUUGCAAGAAGUUUAUUUCAAUUGUGGAUCUGACAAAUUGUAAGCAGGAAGAAGGUGAAUCUACGACUCAUUGGGUGCGCCGGGUCAAGGAUAUAAUACAUUCGUCUGACAAGAUGGAUGCCGGCUCAGCAGUUCUCAUGUUGGAGAAGAAUUGCCGCUUUGAACCUCUGGGACAGAAGCUGGGGCGCCUUAAGCGUGAUUGCAACGAUAUGGGGACGCUGAUGGCGGCUUUAGUCAAGUAUGCCGAUUCUGAUAGUACCAAGGAUCCCGUGUCUGAUGAGGAAAAGACAGGGAAGGGAAAUAAGAACGGCAAUGGAAAGGGUCAGCAGCAUAACCCGGUGAGUCAAGGAGGUAAUAAGCGUAAGGCGGACAGUAACCCGGAAUUUGUGGCCAAUGCACAGGGUAACAAUCAGAAGCACAAGGGAAAGCCACCCCGGUUUGGUGGGUCAGGUCCGUCUCUCAAGCAACUACUCAAUGAACCCUGCCCAAAACACGGUACCCGGGAACGACCAGCGACUCAUUUAUGGAAGGAUUGCGCAAUCAUGAAAGCUUUCAAGAAUUCUAACACAUUUGAUGGCAAUCAAGGCCCAGGCGGCGGUUCAGGAGCCGGCGGCUUUCAUGGCCCGGGCGGUGGUUCAGGAUCCGGUUUUCAGGGAAGCCAGGGUGGUUAUAAUCAACAGCAGUCUGGUCAAGGAGGUCAGCAACAGCAGCAGUCGGGUUAUCAGAGCCAUCCGAAACAGUUAAGCAGUGGGCAGUAUCACGUGUUCACCACAAGUUUGUGUAAAUGUGAUCAGAAAGUUCAUAAGAGGGCUGUGAAUUCUGUUGAACCGGCAGUCCCUUGUUACUUGAGGUGGUCGGAACAGCCUAUUGUCUGGAGCAGGGAGGAUCACCCUCCCCGGGUUGAUAAUCCGGGUCAACUGGCCCUAGUGGUGGCACCGCAAGUUGGUGGUUAUAAGUUUACUAAAGUGCUCAUGGAUGGAGGUAGCAGCAUCAACAUCCUCUAUUACGAGACCUUUCGGCGCAUGGGCUUAACUGAUAAGAAUUUAAAGACUUCCAACACCGUCUUCCAUGGAGUGGUGCCCGGUAAGUCGGCGUAUCCUGUGGGGAAGAUUGAGCUAGAGGUGGCCUUCGAAGACGAGCGUGAUUCUAGGGCGGAAAAGUUAACUUUUGAGGUGGUCAAAAUCAAAGUCCAUAUCACGCUUUGUUCGGGCGGCCAGCCUAUGCCAAAUUCAUGGCACGACUGUGUUAUGUGUAUCUACAGCUCAAGAUGCCGGGUUACAAGGGUACCAUCACUGUGCAUGGAAGCCGAAAGGUGGCCCUGGAGUGUGAAGAGGGCGAUGCGGCUUACGCCGAGUCUGUCUGUGCAGCGGAGGAGCUCAAAUUUUAUCAAGGUAACAUUGACCCGGCAGAUAUGACUUCUCUCAAGAAGCCGACUACGGAGCAUGACCCGGCCAUGAAGUUUAAAUCGGCUGCAGAGACUAAGCUUGUUGAUUUCACUCCAGGCGAUUCAUCUAAGCAAUUCAACAUCAGUGCCAACUUGGAUCCUAAAUAGGAAAGCGCGCUCAUCGAGUUCAUCCGUGAGAACCGGGACAUCUUUGCAUGGAAACCUUCUGACAUGCCGGGUGUACCAAGAGAACUCGCUGAGCACACUCUUAAUAUUGAUCCGAAGUAUAAGCCGGUCAGGCAAUUUCUGCGGCGAUUCAAUGAAGAGUGACAAAAAGCUAUAGGAGAAGAGGUCGCCCGGCUCUUGGCGGCUGGGUUUAUUGUUGAAGUUUUUCAUCCAGAAUGGUUGGCUAACACGGUGCUCGUACUCAAGAAAAAUGGCACCUGGCGGAUGUGUGUGGAUUACACGGACCUAAAUAGGGCUUGUCCGGCCGAUCCUUUUGCUCUCCCCCGUAUUGAUCAAAUCAUUGAUGCUACGGCAGGUUGUGCGCAUUUGAGUUUUUUGGAUGCUUAUUCUGGCUAUCAUCAGAUCAAGAUGGCAGUUAAGGACCAGGAGAAAACGGCCUUCAUCACCCCGUUUGGAGCCUUCUGCUAUGUGUCUAUGCCGUUUGGGCUCAAGAGUGCCCAGGCGACUUAUCAAUGAUGUGUACAGAAUUGUCUUCACGAUCAGAUUGGGCGCAAUGUUCAUGCUUAUGUGGAUGACAUAGUAGUGAAAUCCAGAGAGGCAGAAACCUUGAUAUCUGAUCUCAGAGAAACCUUUGACAAUCUCCGGGUUUACAAAAUGAUGCUUAACCCGGAGAAGUGUGUAUUUGGUGUGCCUGCAGGCAAGCUUUUGGGAUUCUUGGUCUCAAACAGGGGCAUCGAGGCUAAUCCGGAGAAGAUUAAGGCAAUCACUUCUUUGGCUAAACCGGCAUGUAUUAAUGAUGUUCAGCGAUUGGCGGGUCGUGUUGCCGCUUUGAGCCGGUUCAUAAGCCGGUUAGGUGAGAAGGCCCUACCGCUGUACCAAUUAAUGAAGAAGGCAGACACCUUUGUCUGGAGUGAUGCCGCUAAUGCUGCUUUUGAGGAUUUGAAGAGGCAGUUAUCUGAACCACUGGUUCUUGCGGCUCCCAUUGACAAGGAGCCUUUGCUGUUAUAUGUGGCUGCUAAUUCACGAGCCGUCAGUGUGGCGAUUGUGGUAGAGCGCGAGGAGGCUGGUAAGGAACACUCGGUUCAACGGCCGAUUUAUUAUGUCAGUGAGGUACUCAUCGAGUCAAAGCAAAGAUAUCCUCAUUGGCAGAAACUUGUUUACGGGGUGUUCAUGGCAAGCCGAAAGCUGAAGCAAUACUUCCAAGGUCACCCUAUCACUGUGGUAAGUUCUGCCCCCUUGGGAGACAUUAUUCAGAACAGAGAGGCUACAGGACGAGUCGCCAAAUGGGCCAUCGAGCUCGGGCCUCAUGGUCUGAAGUACGCGCCGCGCACUGCCAUUAAGUCCCAAGCUUUGGUGGAUUUCAUCAACGACUGGACAGAGCUACAGGCACCUGAGGAGAAGCCCGAUAACACUUAUUGGAUUAUUCACUUUGAUGGGUCCAGACAGUUGGAAGGCUCGGGGGCCGGAGUUGUAUUAACUUCCCCUCGGUGUGACAAAUUUUGUUAUGUGCUCCGGCUUAUGUUUCCUUGCACUAACAAUGCAGCUGAGUAUGAGGCCCUGCUCCAUGGUCUCCGGAUAGCCAAAGAGAUGAACUUGAUCCGGGUAAGAUGCUUAGGAGACUCAGACCUUGUGGCUCAACAGGUGUCAGGCAAGUGGGACUCUAAAGAUCCCCUCAUGGCGGCUUACCGUCGUGAAGUCGAUGUUGUGGCUGGAUAUUUCAAGGGUUGCGUAGUGGAACACAUUGAUCGAAGGAAGAAUGAGGCGGCGGAUGCCUUAAGCCGGCUGGAGUGAUUCAACGUUGCGUGUCACCUGCAAAGGGUCAGGAGGUCCUUCGUGAAAUUCAUGAAGGUGAUUGUGGUCAUCACACCGGAUCAAAAUCUCUUGUGGCCAAAGCCUUCCGUCAUGGGUUCUAUUGGCUGACGGCUCAUGCUGAUGCGGAAGACCUGGUCAGUAAAUGUGACGGAUGUCAGAAAUUCUCACGACGAGCCCAUGUGCCGGCUCAAGAGUUAAGGAUGAUUCCAAUUACCUGGCCGUUUGCAGUCUGGGGGCUUGAUAUGGUCGGGCCUUUCAAGAGAUCUAAGGAUAAAAAGACUAACCUCUUGGUGGCAGUUGACAAGUUCACAAAGUGGGUGGAGGCGGAGCCAGUCAGUAAGUGUUAUGCAGCCACAGCAGUCCAGUUUAUGAAAAAGGUGAUUUUUCGCUUUGGUUUUCCACACAGCAUCAUAACUGAUAAUGGUACUAACCUUUCCAAAGGAGCUAUGGAAGAGUUCUGUCAACGAGAGCAUAUCCGGCUUGACGUUUCAGCUGUAGCUCACCCUUAAUCAAAUGGCCAAGCAGAAUGAGCCAAUCAAGAAAUCUUGAAGGGUAUCAAGCCCCGGCUCUUGGUCCCUUUACAGCGGACGCCGGGUUGUUGGGUGGAGGAGUUAUCUUCUGUACUCUGGAGCAUCAAUACUACCCCUAACAGAUCUACGGGUUACACGCCUUUCUUUAUGGUGUAUGGAGCAGAGGCGGUCCUGCCAAGUGACAUCCGUCACGAUUCACCCCGUGUGGCGGCUUAUGUUGAGGAAGACAAUGAAAAAGCUCGGCAAGAUGCACUUGACCUGUUGGAUGAAGAGCGAGACUUGGCAAUAGCCCGCUCGGCAAUUUACCAACAAGACCUGCGUCGCUACCACAGCCGCCAGGUUAAGUCCAGAACCUUUCAGGAAGGCGACUUAGUGCUCCGACUCAUCCAGGAUCAAUCUAACAUACACAAGCUAUCCCCUCCUUGGGAAGGACCCUUUGUGGUCAGCAAGAAUCUGAACAAUGGAUCAUACUACCUUAUCGACGUUUGAGAGCAUAAAGACUCAUGUAAGUCGGAGGAGGAGACCUGUCGGCCGUGGAAUAUCGCCCAUCUUCGGCCUUAUUAUACUUGAGCCGUCAGCUCUAAUGUGUAUAUACUUAUACUAUGUAUAUUAUAUAAAUCAAUAAAGCAGGACCUCUGUCCUUUUUUCCACUCCCAAAAAAGGUUUAUGUGUUUUUCCUUGACAGGUGGUGGAGAUAACCAAGGAGAAGCGGAUCAUAUCUGAAUCCGGCUUUCCUUUGGUCCGGCUUAUGAUCAUAUCUGAAUCUAGCCGUUGAUCACUUGGGGGCUUCCUGUUCAAACAUAGGUCGUAUUCGAACCAAAGAGAACAUAGCUGUCGAUACCCGUUUGAUCGGCAUACUGCCAAACCCACUUGGGGGCUUCUUGAUCAUAUCUGAAUCAUAGCUUAACUCCUUUUGGGUCUGACAUGGAUCGUAUUCGAAUCAGCGUCAUUAAACAACUCUUAUGGUCACUUGGGGGCUUCCUGUUCAAACAUAGGUCGUAUUCGAACCAAAGAGAACAUAGCUGUCAAUACCCACUUGAUUGGCAUCGCCACAGCCACUGGGGGCUAACAGAUCGUAUCCGAAUCUUAGCUCAACCCCUUUGGAACGGGUCACUGAUCGUAUUCGAAUCAGAAACCCUUGAAUUUUGUUCAUCAUAUUUUACAAGUGCCAACAUUAGGUAUCUUGUGACCCUCUUGAAAAUACAAUGGAAUACAUUACAGUCUUCCAGAAUUAAUGUUAGUUACAUCAGGUUGUUAAGAACCAGGUGAACUUAUAUGUGCCAAUUUUCAGGAGUUAAGUUUACCCUCAGGGGUUGGUUUAUAUAAGCCGGAAAAAACAGAUGUGAGCACUACAGGGCAAUGCAAGGUAUUUUUGCAAAGGACAUAACAGAUUCAUACAAACUACAAAGAGAAUAAUGGCGGCGGCUUAUGCAAGUAUUAAGGGCCAUAAGCAUGCGCAAAGGCAUAGCAAAACUCAAGGUAUAUUUUACUUUGUUACAAGACUCCCCGAGUCUGAAUGAUGCAUUGUUUUCUACGAUGACAUAAGCAGGUGGUGCCUGACAAGCUACUCUUGGGGUUGACUUGAAGCCCCCGGGUUAUCCUUCUCCGUCUCUCCGCCGGCUGCUUUGUCCUGGAAGGAUGAUGAGGCCCAGUCAAUGCCACUCAAGGCUUCAAACUCGGCUUCAUCAUCUAUUAAACCGGUUGGGUCGACUUCAGGAGCAAAGGUGUGCUUACGGGUUGGAGAGAUCAAGCUGACAUCGUCGUAAUGUGGCAUGGGGAUUCUCCGGUUCUCCUUGUCAUAACCCGGCUGACACUUGGUGAGGUCAGUAUCGUUCCCAAUAAGAGUAGCCACCGGACGUAUAUCCUUCACACAGGCGGUGAAAUCCUUAUCAUUAAAUACGGUGCCAUCUUCCUUUAAACUUGGAUACCCAAGAGCAAUGUCAGCGGGAUCUAGUUCUGGAAGCCACGCCUUGGUCCGGCUCAAUGCGGCUAUAGCUCUGGCUCUUGCAGAUGCUCGUCUUAACUCUUGGAUUCGCUGUGGUAGCACAGCAAGACGCUUCAGCACAUCUUGCAGGAGAUAAGGAACAUCGUUUGAUAAAGCCACAACGGCCAGAGCACGUUGUGACCCGGUGUAGAGUUGUUCCACCAGAGUAUAAACCGCCUUCAGCUUAAUCACCAUGUUCUGCUUAAGAUUUGUGCUCCUGGGGCCUGCGUUAUUAAGCAUAAGGUGAGUCAGAGGAGACAACUGAAAUGGUCAUUCAAGGAGUUUUGCAGUGUUUAAGGUUUGAAUAAGUCACUCACCGAAGAUUGCUGAAACCAUUCGAGAUAUCUGACGCUUUAAGUCGGACAGUUCGGCCGUUGCUUCCGCAAGCGAUGCCUCUGCUGUCUCGGCCCGGGUCACCAGUGCGGCCUUUUCAUCAGCCCAAGUUUUCUUCUCUGAUUGAAAAUUUUGCUUCAACUUCUCUUGUUCAGAGACGCUGAAUUCAAAUUUGGAGUUGGCCUUUUCAAUUUCACUUUCCUGGGUUGCCAGGCGAUUCUUCAAAUCAGCAAUCUCCAAUUCAAAUUUACUUAUGGUGGCCUGCAUUGCACCAGAUAGUAGUAAAAGUUACGGUAAGUACUAUUAAGUCCCAAGCACUUUGCAAGCAAAGAUACUUGACACUUGGGGGCUAAUGUAUACUGAAGCUUUCUAAAUUAUUAAGCCGGUCUUGAAUAUUAAGUCCCAAAUACCUUGCAAGCAAAGAUUUUUGGCACUUGGGGGCUAAUGUAUAUCGCAAGUUAAAGGUAUUGUGUUACACCUGGUUCAAUUAUUUUUUCUUUAAGCCGGAUAAGUAGCUCUAACAAUUUUUCUAAGUCUACAUCAUAUUUAUUCAUAAGCAAUAGACUUGCGGCUGGUACAGUAAGUGUGAUUGAAAGUAAGCUAGUAUAAGUCAUACCUCAGAUUUUUGCUGUAUCUGCUUCACCAUGUCAAUUUCCAGGUCACGGCUGCUUUGUACUUGAUUGAUAUAGCCGGAGACAAUCUCUCCAAUACUCAAAUGAGUAUAGUCAGCGACAUCUAGCUUGGCCUUCCAGCGUUCCACCAAUUCCUUUUUAGAACACUUGGCAAGUGCAGACGACUGUGCUGGCUCAACAAAUUGAGUCUUGAGAAUUUCAACUUCCUGAUCAUUUGCCUUGGCGGGGCUAGGAGCCUCCGGGUUACCAGAAUCGUUGAGGGUUUGUUCAGUAGGCGGGUCAGAGGAAGAUAUAGGAACAUCAUGAGAUGGUUGAGGCGGCGGCUCGUGAGCAGAGGCAUCAGGAGUAGCUGUGCCCAACUCUGGUUCAGUCACAACCGGCUCUUGGGGCAGCUUAUUCUUUUUUGCCCUUUUGCUGGGCUUUACUUGCACACUUUGGAAAAGGUAGACAAGUUAAAUACAGCAAAUAUGAGUAAAAUAAAGCAUAAGGUACAACAAGUUUAUAUUACCCGGGAGCAGUUUUGAAGGCUGGCAUGUUGGACUGCAUAGACUCACCGGAGGAAGGUGAAAUAUCCUGAUAGUUGGAGUCAGAAUAAUUGAGAGCCUAACAAAUGAAGCCUACCAAAGGAAAAAGAAGGUGUAAAUUGGAGAUAACCUCAGUCUGGCGUUUCCGGGUCACAUCAGGUAAGCCGGAGGAGAGUUCCGCAUCUUUGCUGGUCCGGGUCUGCCUCCGGCUCUCAUAAUUCUGUCGCUUCAAAAGAAAGUCAGGAUCUUGGUAAGCCAAAGGAUGUGAAAAUCUUACUUUCCGGGUUACUCUUCGAAUUUUCUGACGCGGCUGAAGCUCGGAGUCGGAGGAGAUUACAAUUACCUCUUCCUCGAUGGGUUGGCUGUUGCCCGUGUCUUCCUGAAAGAAGGUUAGCAUCAGUAAGGUAGAAAUAAAGGAGAAAGGGAAUUUCAAAGGUUACCUCUUCCUCAUUAUCAUCAGUAUCAUCAAGCUGAAACAGCUCAGAGGCGCUUGGCUUCCUUUUCCUUGAGGUGGUGGGCUUGGUGGUUUUCUUUUCGGCUCUCUUGGCCGCCCUGGCUUUCUUGGCCGCCUCAUGAUCAUAUUGCGUGUUCCAGAAGCUAUCAUUUGCCUGUAAAAGGUUAUAACUGGUCAUGCGUAAGAAUACAGCCUAACAUGAUAAAACAUAACCCGAUGGCUGGAAACUUACUGCAGGGGCCAGGUUCUUCUGGCAAAAAGGUAGUAAGCCGAAGGCAUUACUAUUCACUGUGCCCUCUUUCAACAAGGUCUGAGAUGUAGCUUCCACUACGUCAUCUGGUAAGUCGUCAGGGUUAUGACAUUGAGGGUCAUUCUUCUCGCCUGAAUAAUUACACAUUAAGCCGGGGCGGCGGCUUAACGGAAUUAUUCUCCAAGCAAUCCAGACUCGGACCAAGUCAAUGCCAUCUAAGCCGUUCCCUAAAAGAGCUUUAAUCCUCUUGAUUUUGGGGGUGAGUGGCAGGCGUUCAAUAGCUAUCAACUUAUCCGGCAGCGGGUGAGUAGGUUCAAGGCGCAAUGCACGGAAGCCGGGCAGUGGAUUUUCGCCAGCCGGAGAAGUAUCUUGGCAGUAGAACCAUGUCUAGUUCCAGUCCUUUGGAUGACUCGGCAAUUCAGCAUAAGGGAACAGGCAGUCUCUCCACCUUUGAAUUGAUAUGCCACCAAGCUCCAGACUGGGCCCGUUGGCCCGUUCAUUCUCCCGGUUCAAAUAGAACAAUUCCCUGAACAUGAGUAGGUUGGGUUCUUCUCCAAGGUAAACCUCACAGAAAACUUGAAAGUUGCAGAUAUUUGACACGGAGUUGGGCCCGAUGUCUUGAGGUCUUAAGUCAAAGAAGUGCAAAACGUCUCUAAAGAAUUUUGAACCGGGAGGAGCAAAUCCCCGGCUCACAUGAUCGGUAAAAAUGAUCACCUCCCCUUCCUUGGGUUGAGGUUUCUCUUCAGACGGGUCAGGAGCACGAUAAGACAUGGCGUCCUUCUUGGGCAGAUGGCCGGACUUCACAAGCUCUGACAGUUUGUUCUCCGUAACAAUGGAUGGGACCCAGUUGCAGGUAAUCAGAGGUUUAACAGCUUUGGGUGCCAUUGAGUAAAUUGAAGCCUACAACAAGAUAAAGGAAAUUUUCCGGUUUAUUAUAACCCGGAGAAUAAGUAUUAUUGGGUUGUCUGAGAUGGCGGCUUAAGUAGGGGCCUAAUGACAUACAGGUGGUUGUGUGAUAAUGUUUAAACAACCGCAAGUAUUAACGAUGAUGAAAAUUGUCUUAAGUCGCCAAAAGCAGGCAGUGCUGACAGUCAGUAUUAUCUUAAACUGGUCACAUGAACUACUAUGGCUGAAACAGAGUCGACAGAUGCCGUUUUUUGGCUAAGUGUGGAACAAACAGGUUUCACAAGUUGCAGCUAUUAUUUUGGAUCAAACGAUCAUUCUGAAAAGAAAAAUUUCUAGACCUAAAACCAGUGCAGAGAAGUUCAUACACUCGAAAGAGGCCUUUAAACAAGGGAAAUGAGAUCUAUUUCUAUUCGAGAUGGGUGCGGAACAACCGCCAUAGUAGUUCUAACUGUCUAAAGAUCAAAAAGGAGCACUGAGGAGGAAAACUAUCAAGGGUUUGCAACGGGCGGCGAUGAACACCGACGAACUCGGGAGGCUGCAAUGCAGAUCUAAAAGCAGGGAAGGAAAAGGACUUACGGAUGCAGAGCUGUUGCACGGUUCCGUCGCGUUUCUCUGGUCAAGUCAGGUUGAUGCAGCGGCCUGAGUUGGAGAAGACGAGGAAAUCUGCGGCGGCGGCGGCGGCAGAGCUCGAGCGGCAGAGAAACAGUGCAAGGAGGAAGACGACCGAGGAAGGAGAAUGGGAAAGACCUAGGUCGCACCUAUUUAUAAGGAAGGGCCGACUGAGACGGCGCGAGAAACGAGGGGACCUAACAUCAUUAUCCAGCGACCCCGAUGCCUCGUUUUUCGGAAUGGUCAGUAAAGGCAAAGAUCCGUUGGAAGAUAUGAUGGAGUAAAAUAUGAAUUUAAUUGAAGAUGAUGUCACGACGGGUUAACGCAGAUCCAGAAGAUGACAUCAUGGCGGGUUAAAACCUUUGCGCAGACAAGAAGACUGAAGGCUUGUUUCUUAAGGUAUUUUAAGAUUGACAUGAACCGGUUCAAAUCAAUCUGGGGCCUCGUGUUGGGGAUAUAACUAUUUGUGUAAGCUGCCCAGGAGGGGCCGGGUUACGCAAAGAGGGACUCAUCAGAAGAAGCCCAAGAUCAAGCAUGAAGAUGGCGAUUCAAUAAAGGGUCUAAAGCCCACAGGCGACUUAAGGCCCAUAGUGGUAAACCGCCAUGAUGGCAUGACUUGUAUCAUAAGGUAGAAUUAACUAGUCACCGAGCCGGAGACUGUCUAUGAGCCGGCCGGGACUCUGUAGGCCGCAGGGCGUCAACCCGUGUAUAUAAGGGGACGACCCGUCGGUGGCUUAAGGGCAAGAAAACAACUGAUCGAGAGCCAGGCAUAGCGUAUCUCGCUCCCUGGUCAUCGAAACCUCAAGCAAUACCAACCCAACUAGACGUAGGCCUUCCUUCACCGUAAGGGGCUGAACUAGUAUAAACCUCUCGUGUCCUUUGUCUCGAUUAACCCCUUUAAGCUUCCUAGUUGCGAUGGCUCCAUGACUAAGUCCUUGCAAGAGGACAUCUGCCGUGACAAUUCCACGACUCAUGGAGAGCACCGGGAUGAUGAAGAUGGCCACCGAAGAAGGAUUGCCCCCUCCGGCAGGGUGCCGGAACGGGUCUAGAUUGGCUUUCGGUGGCUACGGAGGCUUCUGGCGGCGGAACCCCCGAUCUAUUGUGCUCCCCGAUGUUUUUAGGGUAUAUGGAGAUAUAUAGGCGGAAGAAGUACAUCAGGGGGCCACGAGGGGCUCAUGAGGGUGGAGGGCGCGCCCAGGGGGGUGGGCGCGCCCCCUGCCUCCUCACCUCCUCGCAGAUCCCCCGACGUGCACUCCAAGUCUUCUGGGCUUCUUUCCUUCCAAAAAUGAGUUCCGUGAAGUUUCAGGUCAAUUGGACUCCAUUUGAUUUUCCUUUUCUUCGAAACCCUAAAACAGGGUAAAAACAGAAACUGGCACUGGGCUCUGGGUUAAUAGGUUAGUCCCAGAAAAUGAUAUAAAAGUGUAUAAUAAAGCCCAUAAACAUUCAAAACAGUAAAUAAUAUAGCAUGGAGCAAUAAAAAAUUAUAGAUACGUUGGAGACGUAUCAGACCCUUCUUCAACACUGUUAAUGCUAAGAUAGAUUGCAAACAGGAUGUUGUUACUAUUGGUUUAGAUGAUAUGUCUCAUGAAUUUAAUUUCUCUAAAUUUCAUAGACAACACCGUGAAGAGGAAUUACCUAGUAAAGAUGAAAUUAUUGGUCUUGCUUCUAUUGUCGUACCUCCUAGUGAUCCUUUAGAACAAUAUUUGCUGGACCAUGAAAAUGAUAUGUUUAUGAAUGAAAGAAGGGAAAUAGAUGAAGUAUUCUUUAAACAGGAACCCAUCCUGAAACACAAUUUGCCUGUUGAAAUCCUAGGGGAUCCUCCUCCACCCAAGGGUGAUCCCGUGUUUGAUCUUAAACCAUUACCUGAUACUCUUAAAUAUGCUUAUCUUGAUGAGAAAAAGAUAUAUCCUGUUAUUAUUAGUGCUAACCUUUCAGAGCAUGAAGAAGAGAUAUUAUUGAGAACUCUGAAGAAGCACCGUGCUGCUAUUGGAUAUACUCAUGAUGAUCUUAAGGGCAUUAGUCCCACUCCGUGUCAACACAAAAUAAAUUUAGAGGAAGAUGCCAAACCAGUUCAUGAUCAUCAACGGCUGAAUCCUAAGAUGAAGGAAGUGGUAAGAAAGGAAAUACUAAAGCUUCUUGAGGCAGGUAUAAUUUAUCCCGUUGCUGAUACUCAGUGGGUAAUUCCUGUCCAUUGUGUCCCUAAGAAGGGAGGUAUUACUGUCGUUCCUAAUGAUAAAGAUGAGUUGAUCCCGCAAAGAAUUAUUACAGGUUAUAGGAUGGUAAUUGAUUUCCGCAAAUUAAAUAAAGCUACUAAAAAAGAUCAUUACCCUUUACCUUUUAUCGAUCAAAUGCUAGAAACAUUAUCCAAACAUACACAUUUUUGCUUUCUAGAUGGUUAUUCUGGUUUCUCUCAAAUACCUGUGUCGGCCAAUGAUCAAUCAAAGACUACUUUUACUUACCCUUUUGGUACUUUUGCGUAUAGACAUAUGCCUUUUGGUUUAUGUAAUGCACCUGCUACCUUUCAAAGAUGCAUGAUGGCUAUAUUCUCUGACUCUUGUGAAAAGAUUUGUGAGGUUUUCAUGGACGAUUUUUCCGUCUAUGGAUCCUCUUUUGAUGAUUGCUUAAGCAACCUUGACCGAGUUUUGCAGAGAUGUGAAGAAACUAAUCUUGUCUUGAAUUGGGAAAAGUGCCACUUUAUGGUUAAUGAAGGUAUUGUCUUGGGGCAUAAAGUUUCUGAAAGAGGUAUUGAGGUUGAUAAAGCCAAGGUUGAUUCUAUUGAAAAGAUGCCAUGUCCCAAGGACAUCAAAGGUAUAAGAAGUUUCCUUGGUCAUGCCGGGUUUUAUAGGAGGUUCAUUAAGGACUUCUCCAAAAUUUCCCGGCCUCUGAAUAAUUUAUUACAUAAGAUAUACCAUUUGUUUUUUAUGAUGAUUGCGUAGAAGCAUUUGAAAUACUUAAGAGAGCAUUAAUCUCUGCACCUAUUGUUCAGCCACCUGACUGGAAUUUACCUUUUGAAAUUAUGUGUGAUGCUAGUGAUUAUGCUGUAGGUGCUGUUCUAGGGCAAAGAAUUGAUAAGAAACUAAAUGUUAUUCAAUAUGCUAGUAAAACUCUAGACAAUGCAAAGAGAAAUUAUGCUACUACUGAAAAAGAAUUCUUAGCAGCUGUAUUUGCUUGUGAUAAGUUCAGACCUUAUAUUGUUGAUUCUAAAGUAACUAUUCACAUGGAUCAUGUUGCUAUUAAAUACCUUAUGGAAAAGAAAGAUGCUAAACCUAGACUUAUUAGAUGGGUUCUAUUGCUACGAGAAUUUGAUUUGCAUAUUAUUGAUAGAAAGGGAGCUGAGAACCCCGUUGCAGACAAUUUGUCUAGGUUAGAAAAUGUUCUUGAUGACCCACUACCUAUUGAUGAUAGCUUUCCUGAUGAACAAUUAAAUGUCAUAAAUGCUUCUCAUACUGCUCCAUGGUAUGCUGAUUAUGCUAAUUACAUUGUUGCUAAAUUUAUACCACCUAGUUUCACAUACCAGCAAAAGAAACAAUUCUUCUAUGAUUUGAGACAUUACUUUUGGGAUGGCCCACAUCUUUAUAAAGAAGGAGUAGAUGGUGUUAUUAGACGUUGUGUACCUGAGCAUGAACAACAACAGAUCCUACGCAAGUGUCAUUCCAAGGCUUAUGGAGGACACCACGCUGGAUAGAACUGCACAUAAGGUAUUACAAUCCGGUUUUUAUUGGCCUACUCUCUUCAAGGAUGCCCGUAAGUUUGUCUUAUCUUGUGAUGAAUGUCAAAGAAUUGGUAAUAUUAGUAGACAUCAAGAAAUGCCUAUGAACUAUUCACUUGUUAUUGAACCAUUUGAUGUUUGGGGCUUUGAUUAUAUGGGACCUUUUCCUGCCUCUAAUGGUUAUACACAUAUUUUAGUUGCUGUUGAUUAUGUUACUAAGUGGGUAGAAGCUAUUCCAACUAGUAGUGUUGAUCAUAACACCUCUAUUAAGAUGAUUAAAGAAGUUAUUUUUCCAAGGUUUGGAGUCCCUAGAUAUUUAAUGACUGAUGGUGGUUCACAUUUUAUUCAUGGUGCUUUCCGUAAAAUGCUUGCUAAAUAUGAUGUUAAUCAUAGAAUUGCAUCUCCUUAUCACCCACGGUCUAGUGGUCCAGUAGAAUUGAGUAAUAGAGAACUCAAAUUAAUUUUGCAAAAGACUGUUAAUAGAUCUAGAAAGAAUUGGUCCAAGAAACUUGAUGAUGCAUUAUGGGCCUAUAAAACUGCAUAUAAAAAUCCUAUGGGUAUGUCUCCGUAUAAAAUGGUUUAUGGAAAAGCAUGUCACUUACCUCUCAAACUAGAACAUAAGGCUUAUUGGUCUAUUAAAGAGCUCAAUUAUGAUUUCAAACUUGCCGGUGAGAAGAGGUUAUUUGAUAUUAGCUCACUUGAUGAAUGGAGAACCCAAGCCUAUGAAAAUGCCAAGUUGUUUAAAGAGAAAGUUAAAAGAUGGCAUGACAAAAGGAUACAAAAGCGUGAGUUUAAUGUAGGUGAUUAUGUAUUGCUAUACAACUCUCGCUUAAGAUUUUUUGCAGGAAAACUUCUCUCUAAAUGGGAAGGUCCUUACGUUAUCGAGGAGGUCUAUCGUUCCGGUGCCAUAAAAAUCAACAACUUCGAAGGCACAAAUCCGAAGGUGGUGAACGGUCAAAGAAUUAAACAUUAUAUCUCAGGUAAUCCUAUAAAUAUUGAAACCAAUGUUAUUGAAACCGUAACCCCGGAGGAAUACACAAGGGACACUUUCCGGAAUGUUUCAGACUCCGAAAAGGAAUAGGUAUGUGGUACGGUAAGUAAACCGACUCCAAAACAGUUCUAAUGGCAAUUUUCUUCCGUUUUGGAAUAUUUAGAAAAAUAGAAAAUAAGAAGAAGUCCGGGAAGGACACGAGGGCUCCACGAGGGUGGAGGGCGCGCCCCCUACCUCGUGGGCACCUCGUGUGCUCUCCGGACUCCGUUUUAUUACACAUUACGUAUUUUGGUCGGUAAAAAUUCAUUAUAUGAUCUCCCGGAGGUUUUGACCACUGUAUCACGCAAAACUCCUCCGUUCUUGUUUCGAGCUGUUUUUUGCCAGGGUUGCCAUACCAAGCAUCAUGUCGUCUCCCUCCUCCUCCAACAAUGAGGGCAACGAUACUUGGCUAAUGAAGAUAGAGCUGAAGAGAGAAGAACCCAUGGAGAUCAACAAGGAUGAAGGGAUCAAGAAGGCCACAAGGGACCAAGUUUUGGCAACAGAAGACAUCCUUCAACUUGAUCACAAUCUUCUUACCCCAACUGAGAUCGAAGCUUUCAAGAUGAUUGAGUUAGCUCGUAUACAAAACAAAUAUCUCCCCCGUGAAAAUAUUUUGUUGAAGGAGCAUACCAUUGCACUCAAGGGCAUUAUACACAAGUUGGAAGACCUCUUACGCUCGAUGUGCGACUAUCCAUCAUCACCAACAACUCCUUCACCGGCAAAAGAGAUAUAAUCACAUGGGUAUGGGCACUCCCCUUGGCAACUGCCAAGCUUGGGGGAGUGCCCCGGUAUCGUAUCAUCAUCACUUUUAUCUUUACCAUUUUUCUUAGUUCGAUCCUUUUGGUAAUAUCUUGAUCUAGUAGAAUAAAAGUUUUUAGUAUGAUCCAGUUGUGAGUUUUGCUUUACGAUCCUUCUAUGUAAUCAAGUCCGUGAGCUAUAUAUAAUAAAGAUUAGUGUUGAGUCAAGGGCUUGAUUAUUUUGCCAUGAUCUUAAGUGGAUAAAAGAAAAGAGAAAGAAAUAAAAGAAACAAAGAGAUCAUAUGGAUCUUAUGGAGAGUAAUGAGCUCACAUAGAAAAAGUAUGAUGAAUAAAAGUUGUUGAGAGUUGACAACCAUAGUUUUGGUCAUCGUUGCAAGUAAUAGGAAGUAAUAAAGAAAGAUAGGACUUCACAUAUAAAUAUACUAUCUUGGACAUAUUUUAUGAUUGUGAGCACUCAUUAAAAUAUGACAUGCUAAAGAGUCGACAUUGGACAAGGAAGACAACGUAAUGGGUUAUGUUUUCUUACAUCUGAAAUAAAUUAUAUUUUCUUGGAUCAUCCAACAUGAUUGAGCUUGCCUUUCCCCCUCAUGCUAGCCAAAUCCUUUGCACCAAGUAGAGAUACUAGUUGUGCUUCCAAACACCCUUAAACCAGUUUUGCCAUUAGAGUCCACCAUAUCUACCUAUGGAUUGAGUAAGAUCCUUCAAGUAAGUUGUCAUUGGUGCAAGCAAUAAAAAAUGCUCUCUAAAUAUGUAUGAUUGAUUGGUGUGGAGGAAAUAAUCUUUAUACGAUAGUGUGAUAUGGAAGAAAUAAAAGCGACAGACUACAUAAUAAAGGUCCAUAUCACAAGUGGCAAUAUAAAGUGACGUUCUUUCGCAUUAAGAUUUUGUGCAUCCAACCAUAAAAGCGCAUGACAACCUCUGCUUCCCUCUGCGAAGGGCCUAUCUUUUACCUUUAUCUCCUACCUUACAUAAGAGUCAUGGUGAUCUUCACCCUUCCUUUUUACAUUUUAUCUUUUGGCAAGCACAACAUGUUGGAAGGAUCCUGGUAUAUAUGGCUAAUUGGAUGUGAGUUUUCAUGAACUAUUAUUGUUGACAUUACCCUUGAGGUAAAACGUUGGGAGGCGAAACUAUAAGCCCCUAUCUUUCUUUGUGUCUGAUUAAAACUCCAUACCCAUAAGUAUUGCGUGAGUUUUAGCAAUUGUGAAAGACUAUAUGAUAGUUGAGUAUGUGGACUUGCUGAAAAGCUCUUAUAUAUUGACUCUUUCCUAUGUUAUGAUAAAUUGCAAUUGCUCCAAUGACUAAGAUUAUAGUUUGUUAGUUUUCAAUGAAGUUUAUGAUUCAUACUUGAAAUUGUGAUUGAAUUGUUACUCUAGCAUAAGAGAUCAUAUGACAAGAAUUAUAUAAGUUGUUGUUCUAAGAAUGAUCAUAAUGCCCUCAUGUCCGCAUUUUAUUUUUAUCGACACCUCUAUCUCUAAACAUGUGGACAUAUUUUUCGAUUUCGGCUUUCGCUUGAGGACAAGCGAGGUCUAAGCUUGGGGGAGUUGAUACGUCCAUUUUGCAUCAUGCUUUUAUAUCGAUAUUUAUUGCAUUAUGGACUGUUAUUACAGAUUAUGUCACAAUACUUAUGCCUAUUCUCUCUUAUUUUACAAGGUUUACAUAAAGGGGGAGAAUGCCGGCAGCUGGGAUUCUGGGCUAGAAAAGGAGCAAAUAUUAGAGACCUAUUCUGCAUAGCUCCAAAAGUCCUGAAACUUCACGGAAGACGUUUUCAGAAUAUAUAAAAAAUACUGAGCGCAAGAAGUUCACCAGGGGGGCACACCCUGCCCACGAGGGUGGGGCGCGCCCCCUACCUCGUGGGCCCCCUGGUGGCCCUCCGAUGGCCAUCUUCUGCUAUAUGGAGUCUUCCGAUGAGAAAAAAAAUCAUAAGCCAUCUUUCUGGAUGAGACUCCGCCGCCACGAGGCGGAACCUUGGUGGAACCAAUCUAGGGCUCUGGCAGAGCUGUCCUGCCGGGGAAACUUCCCUCCGGGAGGGGGAAAUCAUUGCCAUCGUCAUCACCAACGCUCCUCUCAUCGGGAGAGGGCAAUCUCCAUCAACAUCUUCACCAGCACCAUCUCCUCUCAAAACCCAGGUUCAUCUCUUGUAUCCAAUUCUUGUCUCCAAGUCAGGGAUUGGUACCUGUGGGUUGCUAGUAGUGUUAAUUACUCCUUGUAGUUGAUGCUAGUUGGUUUAUUUGGUGGAAGAUCGUAUGUUCAGAUCCUAUAUACAUAUUAAUACCCCUAUGAUUAUGAACAUGAAUAUGCUUUGUGAGUGGUUACAUUUGUUCAUGAGGACAUGGGAGAAGUCUUGCUAUUAGUAGUCAUGUGAAUUUGGUAUUCGUUUGAUAUUUUGAUGAGAUGUAUGUUGUCUCUCCUCUAGUGGUGUUAUGUGAACGUCUACUACAUGACACUUCACCAUUAUCUGGGCCUAGAGGAAGGCAUUGGGAAGUAAUAAGUAGAUGAUGGGUUGCUAGAGUGACAGAAGCUUAAACCCUAGUUUAUGCAUUGCUUUGUAAGGGGCUGAUUUGGAUCCAUAUGUUUCAUGCUAUGGUUAGGUUUACCUUAAUACUUUUGUUGUAGUUGCAGAUGCUUGCAAUAGAGGUUAAUCAUAAGUGGGAUGCUUGUCCAAGUAAGGGCAGCACCCAAGCACUGAUCCACCCACAUACCAAAUUAUCAAAGUACCGAAUGCGAAUCAUAUGAACAUGAUGAAAACUAGCUUGACGAUAAUUCCCAUGUGUCCUCGGGAGCGGUUUACAUCAUAUAAGAGUUUGUCCAGGCCUGUCCUUUGCUACAAAAGGUAUAGGGCCACCUUGCUACACUUUAUUUACUUUUGUUACUUGUUACUCGUUACAAAUUAUCAUAUCACAAAACUAUCUGUUACCUAUUAUUUCAGUGCUUACAGAGAAUACCUUGCUGAAAACCGCUUAUCAUUUCCUUCUGCUCCUCGUUGGGUUCGACACUCUUACUUAUCGAAAGGACUACGAUAGACCCCCUACACUUGUGGGUCAUCAUUUCUCUCAAGAAAAAUAGCAAACGGUGGGUAAACAAAUUACUGUUGGGCAAUUGAUAGAACUUCAAAUAAUUAUGACGAUAUCCAGGCAAUGAUCAUUACAUAGGCAUCACGUCCAAGAUUAGUAGACCGACUCCUGCUUGCAUCUACUACUAUUACUCCACACAUCGACCACUAUCCAACAUGCAUCUAGUGUAUUAAGUUCAUGGAAAAAUAGAGUAAUGCAAUAAGAACGAUGACAUGAUGCAGACAAGAUCCGUUUAUCUAUAUGGCGGUAGAUAUAGAUCUCGUCUUUUUAUCCUUAGUAGCAACGAUACGUACAUGUCAUUUCCCUUUCUGUCACUAGGAUCGAGAACCGUAAGAUCGAACCCACUACCGGGCACCUCUUCCCAUUGCAAGAUAAAUAGAUCAAGUUGGCCAAACAAAACCCAAAUAUCGGAGAAGAAAUAUGAGGCUAUAAGAGAUCAUGCAUAUAAGAGAUCAAAGAAACUCAAAUAACUUUAAUGGAUAUAUAAAGAUAUUACUGAUGAUAAACUCGAAUUUCAUCAGAUCCCAACAAACACACUACAAAAGAGUUACAUCAUAUGGAUCUCCAAGAGACCAUUGUAUUGAGAAUCAAAAGAGAGAGAUGAAGCCAUCUAGAUACUAACUACGGACCCAAAGGUCUACAAAGAACUACUCACGCAUCAUCGGAGAGGCACCAAUGGAAGUGGUGAACUGAUACGUCUCUAACGUAUCUAUAAUUUUUGAUUGCUCCAUGCUAUAUUAUCUACUGUUUUGGACAUUAUUGGGCUUUAUUAUCCACUUUUAUAUUAUUUUUGGGACUAACCUAUUAACCGGAGGCCCAGCCCAGAAUUGUUGUUUUUUGCCUGUUUUAGGGUUUCGAAGAAAAGGAAUAUCAAAUGGAGUCCAAACGGAAUGAAACCUUCGGGAAUGUGAUUUUCUCAUCGAAUACAACUCAGGAGACUUGGACCCUAUGUCAAGAAACGUAACAAGAUGCCACGAGGUAGGGGGCGCGCCAACCCCCCAGGUGCGCCCUCCACCCUUGUGGGCCCCCUGUUGCUCCACCGACGUACUUCUUCCUCCUAUAUAUACCCACGUACCCCCAAACGAUCAGAUACGGAGCCAAAACCCUAAUUCCACCGCUGUAACUUUCUGUAUCCAUGAGAUCCCAUCUUGGGGCCUGUUCCGGAGCUCCGCCGGAGGGGGCAUCAAUCACGGAGGGCUUCUAUAUCAACACCAUAGCCUUUCCGAUGAAGUGCGAGUAGUUUACCUCAGACCUACGGGUCCAUAGUUAGUAGCUAGAUGGCCUCUUCUCUCUUUUUGGAUCUCAAUACAACGUUCUCCCCCUCUCUUGUGGAGAUCUAUUCGAUGUAAUCUUCUUUUUGCGGUGUGUUUGUUGAGACCGAUGAAUUGUGGGUUUAUGAUCAAGUCUAUCUAUGAAUAAUAUUUGAAUCUUCUCUGAAUUAUUUUAUGUAUGAUUGGUUAUCUUUGCAAGUCUCUUCGAAUUAUCAGUUUGGUUUGGCCUACUAGAUUGAUCUUUCUUGCAAUGGGAGAAGUGCUUGGCUUUGGGUUCAAUCUUGCAGUGUCCUUUCCCGAUGACAGUAAGGGCAGCAAGGCAUGUAUUGUAUUGUUGCCAUCGAGGAUAACAAGAUGGGGUUUUCUUCAUAUUGCAUGAGUCUAUCCCUCUACAUCAUGUUAUCUUGCUUAAGGCAUUACUCUGUUUUUAACUUAAUACUCUAGAUGCAUGCUGGAUGGCGGUCGAUGAGUGGAGUAAUAGUAGUAGAUGCAGGCAGGAGUCGGUCUACUUGUCUCGGACGUGAUGCCUAUAUACAUGAUCAUACCUAGAUAUUCACAUAACUAUGCUCAAUUCUGUCAAUUGCUCAAUAGUAAUUUGUUCACCCACCAUAGAAUACUAAUGCUCUCGAGAGAAGCCACUAGUGAAACCUAUGGCCCCCGGGUCUAUCUUUAUCAUAUCAAUCUCCUACUACUUAGUUAUUUACUUUGCCAUUUACUUUGCCUUUAUUUUACUUUGCAUCUUUAUCAUAAAAAUACCAAAAAUAUUAUCUUAUCAUAUCUAUCAGAUCCCACUCUCGUAAGUGGCCCUAUAGGGAUUGACAACCCCUAUUUGCGUUGGUUGCGAGGAUUUAUUUGUUUUGUGCAGGUGCGAGGGACUCGCACAUAGCCUCCUACUGGAUUGAUACCUUGGUUCUCAAAAACUGAGGGAAAUACUUACGCUACUUUGCUGCAUCAUCCCUUCCUCUUCGGGGAAAACCAACGCAGUGCUAAAAGAGGUAGCAAGAAGGAUUUCUGGCACCGUUGCCGGGGAGGUCUACGCAAAAGUCAACAUACCAAGUACCCAUCACAUACCCUUAUCUCCCGCAUUACAUUAUUUGCCAUUUGCCUCUCGUUUUCCUCUCCCCCACUUCACCCUUGCCGUUUUAUUUGCCCUCUCUCUCUAUCCUCCCUCUCUUUCUCUAUUUGCCUUUUUUUGUCCGCUUGCUUUUUGUUUGCUUGUGUGUUAGUUUGCUUGUUUGUCACGAUGGCUCAAGAUAAUACUAAAUUGUGUGACUUCACCAAUACCAACAACGAUGAUUUUAUUAGCACUCUGAUUGCUCCUCUUACCGAUGCUGAAUCUUGUGAAAUUAAUGCUGCUUUGCUGAAUCUUGUUAUGAAAGAUCCGUUCUCUGGCCUUCCUAGUGAAGAUUCCGCUACCCAUCUAAAUAGCUUCGUUGAUUUGUGUGACAUGCAAAAGAAGAAAGAUGUGGAUAAUGAUAUUGUUAAAUUGAAGCUAUUUCCUUUUUCGCUUAGAGAUCGUGCUAAAGCUUGGUUUUCGUCUUUGCCUAAAAAUAGUAUUGAUUCAUCGAAUAAGUGCAAAGAUGCUUUUAUCUCUAAGUAUUUUCCUCCUGCUAAGAUCAUCUCUCUUAGAAACGAUAUUAUGAACUUUAAGCAACUUGAUCAUGAACAUGUUGCACAAGCUUGGGAGAGAAUGAAAUUAAUGAUACGUAAUUGCCCUACUCAUGGCUUAAAUUUAUGGAUGAUUAUACAAAAAAUUUAUGCCGGAUUGGAUUUUGCUUCUAGAAAUCUUUUAGAUUCGGCCGCGGGAAGCACUUUUAUGGAAAUCACUUUAGGAGAAGCUACUAAACUCCUAGAUAAUAUUAUGGUUAAUUAUUCUCAAUGGCAUACUGAAAGAUCUACUAACAAAAAGGUGCAUGCGAUAGAAGAAAUUAAUGUUUUGAGUGGAAAGAUGGAUGAACUUAUGAAAUUAUUUGCUAAUAAGAGUGUUUCUUCUGAUCCUAAUGAUAUUCCCUUGUCUACUUUGAUUGAGAAUAAUAAUGAAUCUAUGGAUGUGAAUUUUGUUGGUAGGAACAAUUUUGGUAACAACGCGUAUAGAGGAAAUUUCAAUCCUAGGCAUUAUCCUAGUAAUCCCUCUAAUAAUUAUGGUAAUUCCUACAACAAUUCUUAUGGAAAUUAUAAUAAGAUGACCUCUGAUUUUGAUUCUAAUAUUAAAGAAUUUAUUACUUUGCAAAAGAAUUUUAAUGCUAUGAUUGAAGAAAAAUUGCUUAAGAUUGAUGAUUUGGCUAGGAACGUUGAUAGAAUUGCUCUUGAUGUUGAUUCUUUGAAACUUAGAUCUAUUCCACCUAAGCAUGAUAUCAAUGAGUCCCUCAAAGCCAUGAGAAUUUCCAUUGAUGAGUGCAAAGAAAGAACCGCUAUGAUGCGUGCUAAGAAAGAUGCCUUUAUAAAAGUGUGUUCUUCUAGUUCCUAUGAAAAUAAUGAUGAAGAUCUAAAAGUUAUUGAUGUGUCCCCUAUUAAAUCUUUGUUUUGCAAUAUGAAUCUUGAUAAUGAUGGGACUGAAUAUGAUCCACCUUUACCUAGAAGGCGUUCCAAGAAUUCUGAAUCUUUUGAUCUUGAUGCUAAAUUUGAUAAAAGUGGGAUUGAAGAAAUUAAAACCCUAGAUGUUGCUAAACCCACUAUUAUGGAUUUCAAGGAAUUUAACUAUGAAAAUUUCUCUUUGAUUGAUUGUAUUUCCUUGUUGCAAUCCGUGCUAAAUUCUCCUCACGCUUAUAGUCAAAAUAAAGCCUUUACUAAACAUAUUGUUGAUGCCUUGAUGCAAUCUUAUGAAGAAAAACUUGAAUUGGAAGUUUCUAUCCCUAGAAAACUUUAUGAUGAGUGGGAACCAACUAUUAAAAUUAAAAUUAAAGAUCAUGAAUGCUAUGCUUUAUGUGAUUUGGGCGCUAGUGUUUCCACGAUUCCAAAGACUUUGUGUGAUUUGUUAGGUUUCCGUGAUUUUGAUGAUUGCUCUCUAAACUUGCACCUUGUGGAUUCCACUAUUAAGAAACCUAUGGGAAGAAUUAAUGAUGUUCUUAUUGUUGAAAAUAGGAAUUAUGUGCCCGUAGAUUUUAUUGUUCUUGACAUAGAUUGCAAUCCUUCAUGUCCUAUUAUUCUUGGUAGACCUUUCCUUAGAACGAUUGGUGCAAUUAUUGAUAUGAAGGAAGGAAAUAUUAGAUUCCAAUUUCCAUUAAGGAAAGGCAUGGAACACUCUCCUAGAAAGAAAAUUAAAUUACCUUAUGAAUCUAUUAUGAGAGCCACUUAUGGAUUGCCUACCAAAGAUGGCAAUACCUAGAUCUAUUCUUGCUUGUUAUGCCUAGCUAGGGGCGUUAAACGAUAGUGCUUGUUGGGAGGCAACCCAAUUUUAUUUUUAUUCCUUGAUUUUUGCUCCUGUUUAGUAAUAAAUAAAUUAUUUAGACUCUGUUUUGGUUGUGUUUUUUGUGUUUAAUUAGUGUUUGUUCCAAGUAGAACCGUUGUGAAGACUUAGGGAAAGUCUUGUGGACUUGCUGUAAAAAACAGAAACUUUAGCGCUCACGAGAACUGCUGUCAUUUUUAUUUGGAAGGUGCUAUUUAGUUAAUUAUUUUUGAAUAUGAUUAAUAGAUAAAUUCCUCAUGUCCAGCAAUUUAUUUUAGAAUUUUUGGGGUUCCAUAUCUUGCGCUAGCUACAGAUUACUACAGACUGUUCUGUUUUUGACAGAUUCUGUUUUUCGUGCGUUGUUUGCUUGUUUUGAUGAAUCUAUGGCUAGUAUAAUAGUUUAUAAACCAUAGAGAAGUUGGAAUACAGUAGGUAUAACACCCAUAUAAAUAAAUAAUGAGUUCAUUACAGUACCUUGAAGAUAUCUUUUAUUUUCUUUCGCUAACGGGGCUCACGAGAUUUUCUACUUUAAGUUUUGUGUUGUGAAGUUUUCAAGUUUUGGGUAAAGAUUUGAUGGAUUAUGGAACAAGGUGUGGCAAGAGCCUAAGCUUGGGGAUGCCCAUGGCACCCCCAAGAUAAUCUAAGGACACCUAAAAUCCAAAGCUUGGGGAUGCCCCGGAAGGCAUCCCCUCUUUCGUCUACUUCUAUCGGCAACUUUACUUGGAGCUAUAUUUUUAUUCGCCACUUGAUAUGUGUUUUGCUUGGAGCGUCUUGUAUGAUUUGAGUCUUUGCUUGUUAGUUUACCACAAUCAUACUUGUUGUACACACCUUUUGAGAGAGCCAUAUAUGAUUUGGAAUUUGUUAGAAUACUCUAUGUGCUUCGCUUAUAUCUUUUGAGUUAUAUAGUUUUGCUCUAGUACUUCACUUAUAUCUUUUAGAGCACGGUGCUGGAUUUGUUUUAUAGAAACUAUUGAUCUCCCAUGCUUCACUUAGAUUAUUUUUGAGAGUCUUAAUAGCAUGGUAAUUUGCUUAAAAUCCUAAUAUGCUUGGUAUGCAAGAUUAAUAAUAAAACUCUCUUAUGAGUGUGUUGAAUACUAUGAGAAGUUUGAUACUUGAUAAUUGUUUUGAGAUAUGGAGAUGGUGAUAUUAAAUUCAUGCUAGUUGAGUAGUUGUGAAUUUGAGAAAUACUUGUGUUGAAGCUUGUGAUUCCCGUAGCAUGCACGUAUGGUGGACCGUUAUGUGAUGAAGUCAGAGCAUGAUUUAUUUAUUGAUUGUCUUCCUUAUGAGUGGCGGUCGGGGACAAGCGAUGGUCUUUUCCUACCAAUCUAUCCCCCUAGGAGCAUGCGCGUAAUACUUUGCUUUGAUAACUUGUAUAUUUUUGCAAUAAGUAUAUGAGUUCUUUAUGACUAAUGUUGAGUCCAUGGAUUAUACGCACUCUCACCCUUCCACCUUUGCUAGCCUCUCUAAUAUCGCGCACCUUUUUGCUGGUAUCAUACACCCACCAUAUACCUUCCUCAAAACAGCCACUAUACCUUGCCAUGCAACUUUCCACCGUUCCGUUUAUGACACACUCCAUCAAUGUCAUAUUGCUUAGCAUGAUCAUGUAGUCGACAUAAUAUUUGUAGCAAAGCCACCGUUCAUAAUUCUUUCAUACUUGUCACUCAUGAGUCAUUGUAUAUCCCGGUACACCGCCAGAGGCAUUCACAUAGAGUCAUAUUCUGUUCUAAGUAUCAAGUUCUAAUUGUUGAGUUGUAAGAAAAAUGAAAGUGUGAUGAUCAUCAUUAUUAGAGCAUUGUCCCAGUGAGGAAAGGAUGAUGGAGACUAUGAUUCCCCCACAAGUCGGGAUGAGACUCCGGACGAAAAAUAAAUAAAAGUGGCCAAAGAAGCCCAAAUAAAAAAGGAGAAAGAAAGAGGCCAUAAAAGAUAGAAAAGGCCCAAAAAAGUAAAAAAAGAGAAAAAAAGAAAAAUGGGAGAAAAGAGAGAAGGGACAAUGUUACUAUCCUUUUACCACACUUGUGCUUCAAAGUAGCACCAUGAUCUUCAUAGUAGAGAGUCUCUCAUGUUGUCACUUUCAUAUACUAGUGGGAAUCUUUCAUUAUAGAACUUGUCUUGUAUAUACCAAUGAUGGGCUUCCUCAAAUUGCCCUAGGUCUUCAUGAGCAAGCAAGUUGGAUGCACACCCACUUAGUUUCUUUUUGAGCUUUCAUAUACUUAUAGCUCUAGUGCAUCCGUUGCAUGGCAAUCCCUACUCACUCACAUUGAUAUCUAUUGAUGGGCAUCUCCAUAGCCCGUUGAUACGCCUAGUCGAUGCGAGACUAUCUUCUCCUUUUUGUCUUUUCCACAACCACCCCUCUAUUCCACCUAUAGUGCUAUAUCCAUGGCUCACGCUCAUGUAUUGCGUGAAAAUUGAAAAAGUUUUGAGAAUGUCAAAAGUAUGAAACAAUUGCUUGGCUUGUCAUCGGGGUUGUGCAUGAUUUAAAUAUUUUGUGUGGUGAAGAUAGAGCAUAGCCAGACUAUAUGAUUUUAUAGGGAUAACUUUCUUUAGCCAUGUUAUUUUGAGAAGAGAUAAUUGCUUUGUUAGUAUGCUUGAAGUAUUAUUAUUUUCUAUGUCAAUAUGAACUUUUGUCUUGAAUCUUUCGGAUCUGAAUAUUCAUACCACAAUUAAGAAGAAUUACAUUAAAAUUAUGCCAAGUAGCACUCCACAUCAAAAAUUCUGUUUUUGUCAUUUACCUACUCGAGGACGAGCAGGAAUUAAGCUUGGGGAUGCUUGAUACGUCUCCAACGUAUCUAUAAUUUUUGAUUGCUCCAUGCUAUAUUAUCUACUGUUUUGGACAUUAUUGGUCUUUAUUAUCCACUUUUUAUAUUAUUUUUGGGACUAAUCUAUUAAGCGGAGGUCCGGCCCAAAAUUGUUGUUCUUUGCCUGUUUUAGGGUUUCAAAGAAAAAGAAUAUCAAACGGAGUCCAAGCGGAAUGAAACCUUCGGGAACGUGAUUUUCUCAUCGAAUACAACUCAGGAGACUUGGACCCUAUGUCAAGAAACGUAACAUGAGGCCACGAGGUAGGGGGCGCGCCUACCCCCCCCCCCAGGCGCACCCUCCACCCUCGUGGGCCCCCUGUUGCUCCACCGACGUACUUCUUCCUCCUAUAUAUACCCAUGUACCCCCAAACAAUCAGAUACAGAGCCAAAACCCUAAUUCCACCGCUGUAACUUUUUGUAUCCACAAGAUCCCAUCUUGGGGCCUGUUCCGGAGCUCCGCCGGAGGGGGCAUCGAUCAUGGAGGGCUUCUACAUCAACACCAUAACCUUUCCGAUGAAGUGUGAGUAGUUUACCUCAGACCUACGGGUCCAUAGUUAGUAACUAGAUGGCUUCUUCUCUCUUUUUGGAUCUCAAUACAACAUUCUCCCCCUCUCUUGUGGAGAUCUAUUCGAUGUAAUCUUCUUCUUGCGGUGUGUUUGUUGAGACCGAUGAAUUGUGGGUUUAUGGUCAAGUCUAUCUAUGAAUAAUAUUUGAAUCUUCUCUGAAUUCUUUUAUGUAUGAUUGGUUAUCUUUGCAAGUCUCUUCAAAUUAUUAGUUUGGUUUGGCCUACUAGAUUGAUCUUUCUUGCAAUGGGAGAAGUGCUUAGCUUUGGGUUGAAUCUUGUGGUGUCCUUUCCCGGUGACAGUAAGGGCAGCAAGGCACGUAUUGUAUUGUUGCCAUCAAGGAUAACAAGAUGGGGUUUUCUUCAUAUUGUAUGAGUCUAUCCCUCUACAUCAUGUCAUCUUGCUUAAGGCGUUACUCUGUUUUUAACUUAAUACUCUAGAUGCAUGCUGGAUAGCGGUCGAUGAGUGGAGUAAUAGUAGUAGAUGCAGGCAGGAGUCGGUCUACUUGUCUCGGACGUGAUGCCUAUAUACAUGAUCAUACCUAGAUAUUCUCAUAACUAUGCUCAAUUCUGUCAAUUGCUCAACAGUAAUUUGUUCACCCACCGUAGAAUACUUAUGCUCUCGAGAGAAGCCACUAGUGAAACCUAUGGCCCUCGGGUCUAUCUUUAUCAUAUCAAUCUCCUACUACUUAGUUAUGUACUUUGCCAUUUACUUUGCCUUUAUUUUACUUUGCAUCUUUAUCAUAAAAAUACCAAAAAUAUUAUCUUAUCAUAUCUAUCAGAUCUCACUCUCGUAAGUGGCCCUAUAGGGAUUGACAACCCUUAUUUGCGUUGGUUGCGGGGAUUUAUUUGUUUUGUGCAGGUGCGAGGGACUUGCACGUAGCCUCCUACUGGAUUGAUACCUUGGUUCUCAAAAACUGAGGGAAAUACUUACGCUACUUUGCUGCAUCGUCCCUUCCUCUUCGGGGAAAACCAACACAGUGCUAAAAGAGGUAGCAUGAACCCCUCUGUGAUGAUGUCUAGAUUGGAUCUGGUGGUUCUGCACUCUGCGGCGGCUGGAUGAAUAUUUCAUCGACUCCCCCAGGGUUUCUGGAAUAUUUAGGUAUUUAUAGAGCAAAGAGGCGGUCCGGGGGGCACCCGAGGUGGGCACAACUCACCAGGGCGCGCCUGGGCCUCCUCUCGCGCCCCCUGGUGGGUUGUGCCCCCCUCGGGGCACCGCCAGGUGCAACCAGGGCCCAUUGCCUUCCUUCCGGCCCAUAAAAAAUCAUCCUAAAGUUUCAUGGCAUUUGGACUCCAUUUGAUAUUGAUUUCCUGCGAUGUAAAAAACAUGGAAAAAACAGCAACUGGCACUUGGCACUAUGUCAAUAGGUUAGUACCAAAAAAUGAUAUAAAAUGACUAUAAAAUGGUUAUAAAACAUCCAAGAUUGAUAAUAAAAGAACAUGGAACAAUCAAAAAUUAUAGAUACGUUAGAGACGUAUCAGCAUCCCCAAGCCUAACUCCUAUUCGUACUCGAGUAGGUAAGUGAUAAAAACAGAAAUUUUAAUGUGGAGUGAUGUUCAUCAAGUCAUAUCAUAUUCUUUUCUUUAUAUCAUGGACAUUUGGACUUUUUAUGUGAUUCAAAGCAAUAGUCUAGUUUUGACAUAAUAAUUUAGAUACUCAAGCAUAUCAACAAGCAACCAUGUCUUUCAAAAUAUCAAUGCUAAAACAAGUUAUCCCUAGCCCAUCAUGCUCAAACAUUGAUCCAUUCAUGAAACACACUUGAAUAUUAACUACACCCAAUACUUGAGCAUGAUCAUAUUGCCUCCUACUUGGUGCUUUUUAUGAGAGAAGAUGGAGACUCAAGUUUCAAAAAAAAAUUGCAUAAAGUAAAAGGAAGGCCCUUCGCAGAGGGAAGUAGGGAUUUGUAGAGGUGCCAGAGCUCAAAGCGAAAAAUUUGAGAUAAAAACAUUUUGGGAGGUGUAUCCAUCCCACCAACGAAAACGACUUAGAGUUCCGAACACUUUCCAUGCUAGAUAUGCCAUAGGCGGUUCCCAAACAGAAAAUAAAGUUUAUUCCUUUUUCCACCAUAACUUUCACUUUACAUGGCUAACUGUAUCCACGGGUGCCCUCCAUACCAACACUUUCCAUGGAAUUUAUUAUUUGACAACAUAAAGUAAAUUCAUUUUUGUUUUUGCAUUUCGGUAUUGGGCAUCCCUAAUACCUUUGCCUUACUCUCAUGAAAUGACAAGUGAAUAAACACUCAUCUUGAGAAUAACACAUCUAGCAUGGAAAAUAUUAUCCACCCCUCACCGCUCCGCGAGCGAAACAAACACACAAAAUAGAAGUUUAUUUUGAAAAUUAGAAUUGGCACAUGAAAAUUUGCUUAGAACGACAAAAGAAUACCGCAUAUAGGUAGAUAUAGUAGACUCAUGUGGCAAAACUGGUUUAAAGGUUUUUGGAUGCACAAGUAGAGGUCAUACUUAGUGCAAAAUGAAGGCUAGCAAAAGAUUGGGAAGUGACCAACCAAGAAACGAAUAAUCUCUUAAGCAAGCAUUAAGCAUAACUAACACCGAAUAAUGCACCACAAGUAGGAGAUAAUUUUCAUUGCAUGAUUAUUGACUUUCGUGCAUGCAUAGGGAAUCACAAACCUUAACACUAAUAUUCUUACUAGAGCACAAUUACUCAUCAACAUAACUCACAUAUCACAUCAUCAUAUCUCAAAACUAUUACUAAUAAUCAAGUUUAUUUUGUCUAAUGACUUCAUGACAUUUUCUUUUACUGUAUCCUUCUUGGAUAUCUAUCACUUUGAGAAUAAUUUUCAUGUGUUGCUUUUCAUAAGCUCAAACAAAUAUAAGUGAGGAUCAUGAGCAUAACAAAUUUUAUUUCUCUCAAAAUAAUCUAAGUGAAGCAAGAGAGAAUUUCUUCAAAAUUUUACUAACUCUCAAAAUAAAUCUAAGUGAAGCAAGAGAGCAUUUUUUUUAAAAUAACAAAGCACACCGUGCUAAAAAGAUAUAAGUGAAGCACUAGACCAAGUCCUAGCUCAUAAAAGAUUUAAGUGAAGCAUAGAGAGCAAUUCUAACAAGUCACGAUAUAAUUUUGGCUCUUUCAAAUAGGUGUGCCCAGCAAGGAUUGAUGACUUAAAACACAAAAUAAAACAAGAAAAUACACAUAUCAUACAAGACACUCCAAGCAAAACACAUAUCAUGUGACGAAUAAAAAUAUAGCCUUGAGUAAAAUACCGAUAGUUGUUGGAAGAAAGCGGGGAUGCCACUCGGGGGCAUCCCCAAGCUUAGUUGGUUGCUAAUUCUUGGAUAAUAGCUUGGGAUGCCGGGGCAUCCCCAAGCUUAGUCUCUUACAUCCUUCCUUCAUCCAUCAUAAGAUAACCCAAAACCUGAAAACUUCAAUCACACAAAACUCAACAAAAACCUUCGUGAGAUCUGUUAGUAUAAGAAUAAUAAACCACUACUAUAAGUGUUGUAUCAAACCAAUUCAUAUUUUGUUUUUGUAUUAUAUCUACUGUAUUCCAACUUUUCUAUGGCAAAAACUCAUCAAAGAAAACCAUAGAGCCAUCAAAAUAAGCACAUAACACAAAGAAAACAGAAUCUGUCAAAACAGAACAGUCUGUAGCAAUCUGACUAUUUUGAAUACUUCGGUAACUCCAAAAAUUCUGAAAAAUUAGGACGACAUGAGAAAUUUGUAUAUUGAUCUACUGCAAUUGGUAUAGGUAUUUUAUCGCUCUCUUAUAAAAGAUGAUAAAUAUUUUCGUGAGCGCAAACUUUCUGUUUUUUUCAGCAAGAUCGAACAACUAUUGCCCAAGAAGAUCCUAAAGGCUUUACUUGGCACAAACACUAAUUAAAACAUAAAAAACACAAUCAUAACAGUAGCAUAAUUGUGUAAACACACAAGAACAGAAAGCAAAAAGAAAAAUAUAUUCAUUGGGUUGCCUCCCAACAAGCGCUAUAAUUUUACGCCCUUAGCUAGGCAUAUAGCAAGGAUCUAAGUUUUGUCAUCUUUGGUUCAAGAUACAUAAGAUGCCCUCAUGAUUGAUUCAUAUGGUGGCUUAAUUCUUGUUCUAGGAAAGUGUUCCAUACCUUUCCUCAAAGGAAAUUGGAAAAUAAUACUGCCUUCUUUCAUAUCAAUCACGACACCGAUAGUGCACAAAAACGGUCUACCAAGAAUAAUUGGACAAGACGGAUUGCAAUCAAUAUGAAGAACAAUAAAAUCUAUGGGAACAUAAUUCCUAUUUGAAAGAAUAAGAACAUCAUUAAUUCUUCCCAUAGUCUUUUUAAUAGUGGAAUCCGCCAAGUGCAAAUUAAUGGAACAUUCUUCAAGAUUGGUAAGACCAAGCACAUCACAUAAAGAUUUCGGAAUUGUGGAAACACUAGCACCCAAUUCACACAAAGCAAAACACUCAUAAUUUUUAAUCUUGACUUUGAUAGUAGGUUCCCACUCAUCAUGCAAUUUUCUAGGGAUUGAAACCUCUAAUUCCAAUUUUUCUUCCAAAUCUUUCAUCAAAGCAUCAACAAUAUGUUUAGUAAAAGCUUUAUUUUGUUCAUAGGCAUGGAGUGAAUUCAUCAUGGAUUGCAAUAAAGAAAUACAAUCAAUCAAAGAGCAGCUAUCAUAAUUAAAGUCUUUGUAAUCCAAAAGAGUGGGCACAUCACUAGCUAAAGCUUUGACCUCUCCAAACCCACUUUCAUCAAUUUUCUCAAUAAGAUUUUCACCCUCCGAAAUAUUGCGACGCCUUCUCCCUAAAGUUGACUCUUCUCCAGUCCCUUUUUAUCAUUCUUAACUUUACCAAACAAAGAAUCAAUAGAAGAAACACCAAUCAUUUUAAGAUCUUCAUCACUUUUGCAAGAAUAAUCACUAGAAAAAGCUUUUUCUAAAAAUUCUCUUUUAGCUCUAAGCUUAGCAGUUCUUUUCUUACUUUCAUACAUAGAAACAUAAAGAGAUUUAAUUGAUUCAUCUACUUAGGCACAAAAAAUUUCAUCUUGAGAUUUUGCACAUCAUGAGCAAUUCUAUCAACACUUCUAGACAAAUCAUCAAUCUUAUUCAACUUUUCUUCUAUGGAAGUGUUGAAAACUUUUUGUAUGUUGAUAAAUUAUUUAAUAUUAUUCUCAAGAUCAGAGGUGUUCCUAUUAUUAUUAUAAGAUUGAUUUCCAUAGGAAUUACCAUAAUUAUUAGAUGAAUUACUAGGAAAAGGCCUAGGAUUAAAAUUUCCUCUAUAAGCAUUAUUGUUGAAAUUAUUUCGAGAGAUAAAAUUCACAUCUAUGGCAUCACUAUUUUGCUCAAUCAAAGUAGACAAAGGCAUAUCAUUAAAAUCAAUAGGAGCACUUUUACUAGCAGUCAAUUUCAUAAGAGCAUCAACUUUAUCACUCAAAGAAGAAAUUUCUUCAACUGAAUUAACUUUUUUACUAGUAGGAGCUCUUUCGGUAUGCCAUUGUGAAUAAUUUUCCAUGAUAUUAUCAAGCGAUUUGGUGGAUUCACCCAAAGUAAUUUCCAUAAAGGUACCACCCGCGGCAGAAUCUAAAAGAUUACGAGAAACAAAAUUCAAUCCCGCAUAGAAAUUUUGUAUGAUCAUCCAAAGAUUUAACCCAUGAGUUGGGAAAUUCCUUAGCAUCAUUUUCAUCCUUUCGCAAGAUUGUGCAACAUGCUCAUGUUCAUGUUGCUUGAAGUUCAUGAUCUGGGUUCUAAGGGAAAUAAUUUUUGCGGGAGGAAAAUACUUAGUGAUAAAAGCAUCUUUGCACUUAUUCCAAGAAUCAGUACUAUUACGAGGCAAAGAAGAGAACCAAUUUUUUGCAAAAUCACGCAAAGAGAACGGAAAUAAUUUCAUCUUGACCACAUCAUUGUCCACAUCUUUUUUCUUUUGCAUAUCGCAUAAUUCCACAAAGGUAUUAAGAUGGGACGCGACAUCCUCAUUAGGAGUACCGGAAAAUUGGUCUUUCAUAACAAGAUUCAGCAAAGCGGUUUUAAUAUCACAAGUCUUCGCACUAGUGGCGGGAGGAGCAAGCGGAGUGCCUAUAAAAUCAUUGUUGUUGGUAUUUGAGAAAUCACAUAACUUGGUGUUCUCUUGAGUCAUGAUGAACACACAACAAGAUUGCACUCAAAAAUAGAUCCGGCAAGAAAACAACGAACGGAAAAAAAGAGGCGAAUAAAAUGACAAAUUUUUGUGAAGUGGGCGAGAGGAAAACGAGAGGCAAAUGGCAAAUAAUGUAAAUUGCAAGGAGAUGAGAUUUGUGAUUAGGAACCUGGUUAUGUUGAAGAUCCUCCCCAGCAAUGGCGUCAGAAAUUGGUGCGUGGCCGCGAGACUAUCUUGACUUGAUCCUCCCUGGCAACAGUGCCAGAAAUUCUCCUUGAUGGCAGCUGGAACUACGUCGGUAUUUCCCCGGAGAGGGAGGGAUGAUGUAGCACACUGACAGUAGGUAUUUCCCUCAGUUAUGAAACCAAGGUAUAGAACCAGUAGGAGAACCAAGCAACACAACGUAAACAACACCUGCACACAAAUAACAACACCUCGCAACCCGACGAGUUAAAGGGGUUGUCAGUCCCUUUCGGGGUACGGCUCCUCAAGAUAGGCAAGCGGACGUGAGGUAAAUUAUAGUAGAUUGAUAGAUCGAAUGCCAAAUAAAAUAAAUAAAGAUAAAACACAACAAGGUAUUUUUGUAUUUUUGGGUUUAAUAGAUCUGAAUAAAAAGGCAAAGGAAAAGUAGAUCGCAAGGCAAAUAUAUGAGAAAUAAGACCCGGGGGCUGUAGGUUUCACUAGUGGCUUCUCUCGAGAAAAAUAGCAAACGGUGGGUAAACAAAUUACUGUUGGGCAAUUGAUAGAACUUCAAAUAAUUAUGAUGAUAUCCAGGCAAUGAUCAUUACAUAGGCAUCACGUCCAAGAUUAGUAGACUGACUCAUGCCUGCAUCUACUACUAUUACUCCACACAUCGACCACUAUCCAGCAUGCAUCUAGUGUAUUAAGUUCAUGGAAAAAGGUUGGGAGGCAAAACUAUAAGCCCCUAUCUUUCUCUGUGUCCGAUUAAAACUUCAUACCCAUAAGUAUUGCGUGAGUGUUAGCAAUUGUGAAAGGCUAAAUGAUAGUUGAGUAUGUGGACUUGCUGAAAAGCUCUUAUAUUGACUCUUUCCGAUGUCAUGAUAAAUUGCAAUUGCUUCAAUGACUGAGAUUAUAGUUUGUUAGUUUUCAAUGAAGUUUCUGAUUCAUACUUGAAAUUGUGAAUGAAUUGUUACUUGAGCAUAAGAAAUCAUAUGACAAUAUAUAUAUGUUGCUAUUCUAAGAAUGAUCAUGAUGCCCUCAUGUCCGUAUUUUAUUUUAUCGACACCUCUAUCUCUAAACAUGUGGACAUAUUUUUUGUUAUCAGCUUCCGCUUGAGGACAAGCGAGGUCUAAGCUUGGGGGAGUUGAUACGUCCAUUUUGCAUCAUGCUUUUAUAUCGAUAUUUAUUACAUUAUGGGCGGUUAUUACACACUAUGUCACAAUACUUAUGCCUAUUCUCUCUUAUUUUACAGGGUUUGCGCGAAGAGGGAGAAUGCCGACAGCUGGAAUUCUGGGUUGGAAAAGGAGCAAAUAUUAGAGACCUAUUCUGCACAACUCCAAAAGUCCUGAAACUCCACGAAAGUCAGUUUUGGAAUAUAUACAAAAUAUUGGGCGAAGAAAGCACGAGAGGGGGCCACCCAUCAUCCACGAGGGUAGGGGCGCGCCCUACCCCUGGGCAUGCCCCCUGUCUCGUGGGCCCCCUGGCAGGCCUCCGGUGCCCAUCUUUGGCUAUAUGAAGUCUUUCGCCCUGGAAAAAAUGAUAAGCAAGCUUUCGGGAUGAAACACCGCCGCCACGAGGCGGAACCAAUCUAGGGCUCCGACGGAGCUGUUCUGCCGGGGAAACAUCCCUCCGGGAGGGGGAAAUCAUCACCAUCAUCAGCACCAUCGAUCCUCUCAUCGGGAGGGGGUCAAUCUCCAUCAACAUCUUCACCGGCACCAUCUCAUCUCAAACCCUAUUUCAUCUCUUGUAUCCAAUCUUUGUCUCAAAACCUCAGAUUGGUACAUGUGGGUUGCUAGUAGUGUUGAUUACUCCUUGUAGUUGAUGCUAGUUGGUUUAUUUGGUGGAAGAUCAUAUGUUCAGAUCCUUUAUGCAUAUUAAUACCCCUCUGAUUAUGAACAUGAAUAUGAUUUGUGAGUAGUUACAUUUGUUCCUGAGGACAUGGGAGAAGCCUUCCUAUAAGUAGUCAUGUGAAUUUGGUAUUCGUUCGAUAUUUUGAUAAGAUGUAUGUUGUCUCUCCUUUAGUGGUGUCAUGUGAAUGUCGACUACAUGACACUUCACCAUUGUUUGGGCCUAGGGGAGGGCAUUGGGAAGUAAUAAGUAGAUGAUGGGUUGCUAGAGUGACAGAAGCUUAAACCCUAGUUUAUGCGUUGCUUCGUAAGGGGCUGAUUUGGAUCCAUAUGUUUCAUGCUAUGGUUAGGUUUACCUUAAUACUUCUUUUGUAGUUGCGGAUGCUUGCAGGAGGGGUUAAUCAUAAGUGGUAUGCUUGUCCAAGUAAGGGCAGUACCCAAGCACCGGUCCACCCACAUAUCAAAUUAUCAAAGUACCGAACGCGAAUCAUAUGAGCGUGAUGAAAACUAGCUUGACGAUAAUACCCAUGUGUCCUCGGGAGCGCUUUCCUUUAUAUAAGAGUUUUUCCAGGCUUGUACUUUGCUACAAAAAGGAUUGGGCCAUCUUGCUGCACGUUAUUUACUUUUAUUACUUAUUACCCGUUACAAAUUACCUUUUCACAAAACUAUCCGUUACCGAUAAUUUCAGUGCUUGCAGAGAAUACCUUACUGAAAACCGCUUAUCAUUUUCUUCUGCUCCUCGUUGGGUUCGACACUCUUACUUAUCGAAAGGACUACGAUAGAUCCCCUAUACUUGUGGGUCAUAAAUACUCUUUUCUAGCGCCGUUGCCGGGGAGUGAAGCGCCUUUGGUAGGUGGAAUUUGGUAAGGAAAAAUUUAUAUAGUGUGCUGAAAUUUACUGUCACUUGUUACUAUGGAAAGUAAUCCUUUGAGGGGCUUGUUCGGGGUAUCUUCACCCCAGCUAGUAGAGCAAAGAGUUGCUCCUCAACCUACUGAACCUACUGAAAAUGUUUACUUUGAAAUUCCUUCGGGUAUGAUAGAGAAACUGCUCGCUAAUCCGUUUACAGGAGAUGGAACAUUGCAUCCCGAUUUGCACCUAACCUAUGUGGAUGAAGUUUGUAGAUUAUUUAAGCUUGCAAGCAUGCCCGAGGAUGUUAUCAAGAAGAAGGUCUUCCCUUUAUCUUUGAAGGGAAAGACAUUGACAUAGUUUAGGCUAUGCGAUGAUAUUGGAUCAUGGAACUAGAAUCGAUUGAACUUGGAAUUUCAUCAAAAGUUUUAUCCUAUGCAUCUGGUUCAUCAUGAUCGUAAUUAUAUAUAUAAUUUUUGGCCUCACGAAGGAAAAAGCAUCGCUCAAGCUUGGGGGAGGCUUAAGUCAAUGUUAUAUUCAUGCCCCAAUCAUGAGCUCUCAAGAGAAAUUAUUAUUCAAAAUUUUUAUGCUCGGCUUUCUCUCAAGGAGACUCAUCCGUAAUUAGUUUAUUUAGACCAUUGACAUGACCCCUCAUAUUGCUAGUGUUGUGAUUCCUUCACCACAUACUAUAGAGAAGUUCAAACCAUGAUCCAUAAGCAAGCUCUCAAUCACUGUUUUGAGUGUCAAAGAUGUGGUGUUUCCAACAUAUAAAAUAUGAAGAAACCUCUCAACCACCCUUCCUAUUUUAUCAACAUAACACAGACAAAGAGACAAAUGUUAUUGUAGAUACACAUCACUUGAUUCACCGACAAGUAUUGAGAAAUAACUAUCACCUAGCUCUUCCUGUUGGGUAACGUAGUAAUUUCAAAAAAAUUCCUACGCACACGCAAGAUCAUGGUGAUGCAUAGCAACGAGAGGGGAGAGUGUGAUCUACGUACCCUUGUAGAUCAACAACGGAAGCGUUAGCACAACGUGGUUGAUGUAGUCGUACGUCUUCACGGCCCGACCGAUCAAGUACCGAAACUACGGCACCUCUGAGUUCUAGCACACGUUCAGCUCGAUGACGAUCCCCGGACUCCGAUCCAGCAAAGUGUCGGGGAAGAGUUCCGUCAGCACGACGGCGUGGUGACGAUCUUGAUGUACUACCGUCGCAGGGCUUCGCCUAAGCACCGCUACAAUAUUAUCGAGGACUAUGGUGGAAGGGGGCACCGCACACGGCUAAGAAUAUGAUCACGUGGAUCAACUUGUGUCUCUAGGGGUGCCCCCUGCCUCCGUAUAUAAAGGAUCAAAGAGGGGGUGCGGCCGGCCAGGAGAGGGCGCGCCAGGAGGAGUCCUACUCCCUCCGGGAGUAGGAUUCCCCCCCUUUCCUAGUUGGAAUAGGAUUCGAGAGGGGGGAAAGAGGAGAGAGAGAAGGAAGGGGGGGGGGGGGCGCCGCCCCCUUCUCCUUGUCCUAUUCGGACUAGGGGGGGAGGGGCGUGCGGCCCAGCCCUGGCCACCUCUCCUCUCUUCUACUAAGGCCCACUAAGGCCCAUAUACCUCCCGGGGGGUUCCGGUAACCUCCCGCUACUCUGGUAAAAUCCCGAUUUCAUCCGGAACACUUCCAAUAUCCAAAUAUAGGCUUCCAAUAUAUCAAUCUUUAUGUCUCGACCAUUUUGAGACUCCUCGUCAUGUCCCCGAUCCCAUCCGGGACUCCGAACUCCUUUGGUACAUCAAAACUCAUAAACUCAUAAUAUAACUGUCAUCAAAACCUUAAGCGUGCGGACCCUACGGGUUCGAGAACAAUGUAGACAUGACCGAGACACAUCUCCGGUCAAUAACCAAUAGCGGAACCUGGAUGCUCAUAUUGGCUCCUACACAUUCUACGAAGAUCUUUAUCGGUCAGACCGCAUAACAACAUACGUUGUUCCCUUUGUCAUCGGUAUGUUACUUGCCCGAGAUUCGAUCGUCGGUAUCUUAAUACCUAGUUCAAUCUCGUUACCGGCAAGUCUCUUUACUCGUUCCGUAAUACAUCAUCUCACAACUAACUUAUUAGUUGCAAUGCUUGCAAGGCUUAUGUGAUGUGUAUUACCGAGAGGGCCCAGAGAUACCUCUCCGACAAUCGGAGUGACAAAUCCUAAUCUCGAAAUACGCCAACCCAACAUGUACCUUUGGAGACACCUGUAGAGCACCUUUAUAAUCACCCAAUUACGUUGUGACGUUUGGUAGCACACAAAGUGUUCCUCCGGUAAACGGGAGUUGCAUAAUCUCAUAGUCAUAGGAACAUGUAUAAGUCAUGAAGAAAGCAAUAGCAACAUACUAAAUGAUCGGGUGCUAAGCUAAUGGAAUGGGUCAUGUCAAUCAGAUCAUUCACCUAAUGAUGUGAUCCCGUUAAUCAAAUAACAACUCUUUGUCCAUGGUUAGGAAACAUAACCAUCUUUGAUUAACGAGCUAGUCUAGUAGAGGCAUACUAGUGACACUCUGUUUGUCUAUGUAUUCACACAUGUAUUAUGUUUCCGGUUAAUACAAUUCUAGCAUGAAUAAUAAACAUUUAUCAUGAUAUAAGGAAAUAAAUAAUAACUUUAUUAUUGCCUCUAGGGCAUAUUUCCUUCAGUCUCCUACUUGCACUAGAGUCAAUAAUCUAGAUUAUACAGUAAUGAUUCUAACACCCAUGGAGCCUUGGUGCUGAUCAUGUUUUGCUCAUGGAAGAGGCUUAGUCAACGGGUCUGCUACAUUCAGAUCCGUAUGUAUCUUGCAAAUCUCUAUGUCUCCCACCUGGACUAGAUCCCGGAUGGAAUUGAAGCGUCUCUUGAUGUGCUUGGUUCUCUUGUGAAAUCUGGAUUCCUUUGCCAAGGCAAUUGCACCAGUAUUGUCACAAAAGAUUUUCAUUGGACCCGAUGCACUAGGUAUGACACCUAGAUCGGAUAUGAACUCCUUCAUCCAGACUCCUUCAUUUGCUGCUUCCGAAGCAGCUAUGUAUUCUGCUUCACACGUAGAUCCCGCCACGACGCUUUGUUUAGAACUGCACCAACUGACAGCUCCACCGUUUAAUGUAAGUACGUAUCCAAUUUGCGAUUUAGAAUCGUCCGGAUCAGUGUCAAAGCUUGCAUCGAUGUAACCAUUUACGAUUAGCUCUUUGUCACCUCCAUAAAUGAGAAACAUAUCCUUAGUCCUUUUCAGGUAUUUCAGGAUGUUCUUGACCGUUGUCCAGUGAUCCACUCCUGGAUUACUUUGGUACCUCCCUGCUAGACUUAUAGCAAGGCACACAUCAGGUCUGGUACACAGCAUUGCAUACAUGAUAGAGCCUAUGGCUGAAGCAUAGGGAACAUCUUUCAUUUUCUCUCUAUCUUCUGCAGUGGUCGGGCAUUGAGUCUGACUCAACUUCACACCUUGUAACACAGGCAAGAACCCUUUCUUUGCUUGAUCCAUUUUGAACUUCUUAAAAACUUUGUCAAGGUAUGUGCUUUGUGAAAGUCCAAUUAAGCGUCUUGAUCUAUCUCUAUAGAUCUUAAUGCCUAAUAUGUAAGCAGCUUCACCGAGGUCUUUCAUUGAAAAACUCUUAUUCAAAUAUCCCUUUAUGCUCUCCAGAAAUUCUAUAUCAUUUCCAAUUAGUAAUAUGUCAUCCACAUAUAAUAUCAAAAAUGCUACAGAGCUCCCACUCACUUUCUUGUAAAUACAGGCUUCUCCAAAAGUCUGUAUAAAACCAAAUGCUUUGAUCACACUAUCAAAGCGUUUAUUCCAACUCUGAGAGGCUUGCACCAGUCCAUAAAUGGAUCGCUGGAGCUUGCACACUUUGUUAGCUCCCUUUGGAUCGACAAAACCUUCUGGUUGCAUCAUAUACAACUCUUCUUCCAGAAAUCCAUUCAGGAAUGCAGUUUUGACAUCCAUCUGCCAAAUUUCAUAAUCAUAAAAUGCGGCAAUUGCUAACAUGAUUCGGACAGACUUAAGCAUCGCUACGGGUGAGAAGGUCUCAUCGUAGUCAAUCCCUUGAACUUGCCGAAAACCUUUUGCGACAAGUCGAGCUUUGUAGACAGUAAUAUUACCGUCAGCGUCCGUCUUCUUCUUGAAGAUCCAUUUAUUCUCAAUUGCUUGCCGAUCAUUGGGCAAGUCAACCAAAGUCCAUACUUUGUUCUCAUACAUGGAUCCCAUCUCAGAUUUCAUGGCUUCAAGCCAUUUUGCGGAAUCUGGGCUCACCAUCGCUUCUUCAUAGUUCGUAGGUUCAUCAUGAUCUAGUAGCAUGACUUCCAGAACAGGAUUACCGUACCACUCUGGCGCGGAUCUCACUCUGGUUGAUCUACGAGGUUCAGUAGUAUCUUGUUCUGAAGUUUCAUGAUCAUUAUCAUUAGCUUCCUCACUAAUUGGUGUAGGUGUCACAGAAACAGAUUUCUGUGAUGUACUACUUUCCAAUAAGGGAGUAGGUACAGUUACCUCGUCAAGUUCUACUUUCCUCCCACUCACUUCUUUCGAGAGAAACUCCUUCUCCAGAAAGUUUCCGAAUUUAGCAACAAAAGUCUUGCCUUCGGAUCUAUGAUAGAAGGUGUAUCCAAUAGUUUCCUUUGGAUAUCCUAUGAAGACACAUUUUUCCGAUUUGGGUUCGAGCUUAUCAGGUUGAAGCUUUUUCACAUAAGCAUUGCAGCCCCAAACUUUCAGAAACGACAACUUUGGUUUCUUGCCAAACCACAGUUCAUAAGGCGUCGUCUCAACGGAUUUUGAUGAUGCCCUAUUUAACGUGAAUGCGGCCGUCUCUAGAGCGUAUCCCCAAAACGAUAGCGGUAAAUCAGUAAGAGACAUCAUAGAUCGUACCAUAUCUAGUAAAGUAUGAUUACGACGUUCAGACACACCAUUACGUUGUGGUGUUCCGGGUGGCGUGAGUUGCGAAACUAUUCCACAUUGUUUCAAAUGUACACUAAACUCGUAACUCAAAUAUUCUCCUCCACGAUCAGAUCAUAGGAAUUUUAUUUUCUUGUUACGAUGAUUUUCAACUUCACUCUAAAAUUCUUUGAACUUUUCAAACGUUUCAGACUUGUGUUUCGUUAAGUAGAUAUACCCAUAUCUGCUUAAGUCAUCUGUGAAGGUGAGAAAAUAAUGAUAUCCGCCACGAGCCUCAACAUUCAUCGGACCACAUACAUCUGUAUGUAUGAUUUCUAACAAAUCUAUUGCUCUCUCCAUAGUACCGGAGAAUGGUGUUUUUGUCAUCUUACCCAUAAGGCACGGUUUGCAAGUACCAAGUGAUUCAUAAUCAAGUGGUUCCAAAAGCCCAUCAGUAUGGAGUUUCUUCAUGCGCUUUAUACCGAUAUGACCUAAACGGCAGUGCCACAAAUAAGCUGCACUAUCAUUAUCAACUCUGCAUCUUUUGGUUUCAACACUAUGAAUAUGUGUGUCACUACUAUCGAGAUUUAAUAAGAAUAGACCACUCUUUAAGGGUGCAUGACCAUAAAAGAUAUUACUCAUGUAAAUAGAAUAACCAUUAUUCUCUGAUUUAAAUGAAUAACCGUCUCGCAUCAAACAAGAUCUAGAUAUAAUGUUCAUGCUUAACGCUGGCACCAAAUAACAAUUAUUUAGGUCUAAUAUUAAUCCCGAAGGUAGAUGUAGAGGUAGCGUGCCGACUGCGAUCACAUCGACUUUGGAUCCAUUUCCCACGCGCAUCGUCACCUCGUCCUUAGCCAAUCUUCGCUUAAUCCGUAGUCCCUGUUUCGAGUUGCAAAUAUUAGCAACAGAACCAGUAUCAAAUACCCAGGUGCUACUGCGAGCAUUAGUAAGGUACACAUCAAUAACAUGUAUAUCACAUAUACCUUUAUUCACCUUGCCAUCCUUCUUAUCCGCCAAAUACUUGAGGCAGUUCCGCUUCCAGUGACUAGUCUGCUUGCAGUAGAAGCACUCAGUUUCAGGCUUAGGUCCAGGUUUGGGUUUCUUCUCUUGAGCAGCAACUUGCUUGCUAUUCUUUUUGAAGUUCCCCUUCUUCUUUCCUUUGCCCUUUUUCUUGAAACUAGUAGUCUUGUUGACCAUCAACACUUGAUGCUCCUUCUUGAUUUCUACCUCCGCAGCUUUCAGCAUUGCGAAGAGCUCGGGAAUAGUCUUAUUCAUCCCUUGCAUAUUAUAGUUCAUCACGAAGCUCUUGUAGCUUGGUGGCAGUGAUUGGAGAAUUCUGUCAAUGACGCAAUCAUCUGGAAGAUUAACUCCCAAUUGAAUCAAGUGAUUAUUAUACCCAGACAUUUUGAGUAUAUGCUCACUGACAGAACUGUUCUCCUCCAUCUUGCAGCUAUAGAACUUAUUGGAGACUUCAUAUCUCUCAAUCCGGGCAUUUGCUUGAAAUAUUAACUUCAACUCCUGGAACAUCUCAUAUGCUCCAUGACGUUCAAAACGUCGUUGAAGUCCCGUUUCUAAGCCGUAAAGCAUGGCACACUGAACUAUUGAGUAGUCAUCAGCUUUGCUCUGUCAAACGUUCAUAACAUCUGGUGUUGCUCUAGCAGCAGGCCUGGCACCCAGCGGUGCUUCCAGGACGUAAUUCUUCUGUGCAGCAAUGAGGAUAAUCCUCAAGUUACGGACCCAGUCCGUGUAAUUGCUACCAUCAUCUUUCAACUUUGCUUUCUCAAGGAAUGCAUUAAAAUUCAACGGAACAACAACACGGGCCAUCUAUCUACAAUCAAACAUGAAUAAGCAAGAUACUAUCAGGUACUAAGUUCAUGAUAAAUUUAGGUUCAAUUAAUCAUAUUACUUAAAGAACUCCCACUUAGAUAGACAUCCCUCUAAUCCUCUAAGUGAUUACGUGAUCCAAAUCAACUAAACCAUGUCCGAUCAUCACGUGAGAUGGAGUAGCUUCAUUGGUGAACAUCACUAUGUUGAUCAUAUCUACUAUAUGAUUCACGCUCGACCUUUCGGUCUUCGUGUUCCGAGGCCAUAUCUGUAUAUGCUUGGCUCGUCAAGUAUAACCUGAGUAUUCCACGUGUGCAACUGUUUUGCACCCGUUGUAUUUGAACGUAGAUCCUAUCACACCCGAUCAUCACGUGGUGUCUCAGCACAAAGAACUUUCGCAACGAUGCAUACUCAGGGAGAACACUUCUUGAUAAUUAGUGAGAGAUCAUCUUAUAAUGCUACCGUCAAUCAAAGCAAGAUAAGAUGCAUAAAAGAUAAACAUCACAUGCAAUCAAUAUAAGUGAUAUGAUAUGGCCAUCAUCAUCUUGUGCUUGUGAUCUCCAUCUUCGAAGCACCGUCAUGAUCACCAUCGUCACCGGCGCGACACCUUGAUCUCCAUCGUAGCAUCGUUGUCGUCUCGCCAAUCUUAUGCUUUCAUGACUAUCGCUACCGCUUAGUGAUAAAGUAAAGCAUUACAGCGCGAUUGCAUUGCAUACAAUAAAGCGACAACCAUAUGGCUCCUGCCAGUUGCUGAUAACUCGGUUACAAAACAUGAUCAUCUCAUACAAUAAAAUUUAGCAUCAUGUCUUGACCAUAUCACAUCACAACAUGCCCUGCAAAAACAAGUUAGACGUCCUCUACUUUGUUGUUGCAAGUUUUACGUGGCUGCUACGGGCUUAAGCAAGAACCAAUCUUACCUAAGCAUCAAAACCACAACGAUAAUUUGUCAAGUUGGUGUUGUUUUAACCUUCGCAAGGACCGGGAGUAGCCACACUCGGUUCAACUAAAGUUGGACAAACUGUCACCCGCUAGCCACCUUUGUGCAAAGCACGUUGGGAGAACCGGUCUCGCGUAAGCGUACGCGUAAUGUCGGUCCGGGCCGCUUCGUCCAAAAAUACCGCCGAACCAAAGUAUGACAUGCUGGUAAGCAGUAUGACUUAUAUCGCCCACAACUCACUUGUGUUCUACUCAUGCAAAUAACAUCAACACAUAAAACCUAGGCUCUGAUACCACUGUUGGGUAACGUAGUAAUUUCAAAAAAUUUCCUACGCACACGCAAGAUCAUGGUGAUGCAUAGCAACAAGAGGGGAGAGUGUGAUCUACGUACCCUUGUAGAUUGGCAACGGAUGCGUUAGCACAACGUGGUUGAUGUAGUCGUACGUCUUCACGGCCCGACCGAUCAAGUACCGAAACUACGGCACCUCCGAGUUCUAGCACACGUUCAGCUCGAUGACGAUCCCCGGACUCCGAUCCAGCAAAGUGUCGGGGAAGAGUUCCAUCAGCAUGAUGGCGUGGUGACGAUCUUGAUGUACUACCGUCGCAGGGCUUCGCCUAAGCACCGCUACAAUAUUAUCGAGGACUAUGGUGGAAGGGGGCACCGCACACGGCUAAGAAUAUGAUCACGUGGAUCAACUUGUGUCUCUAGGGGUGCCCCUGCCUCCGUAUAUAAAGGAUCAAAGGGGGGGGGUGCGGCCGGCCAGGAGAGGGCGCGCCAGGAGGAGUCCUACUCCCUCCGGGAGUAGGAUUCCCCCCUUUCCUAGUUGGAAUAGGAUUCGGGAGGGGGGAAAGAGGAGAGAUAGAAGGAAGGGGGGCGCCGCCCCCUUCUCCUUGUCCUAUUCGGACUAGGGGGGGAGGGGCGCGCGGCCCAGCCCUGGCCACCUCUCCUCUCUUCCACUAAGGCCCACUAAGGCCCAUAUACCUCCCGGGGGGUUCCGGUAACCUCCCGGUACUCCGGUAAAAUCCCGAUUUCACCCGGAACACUUCCGAUAUCCAAAUAUAGGCUUUCAAUAUAUCAAUCUUUAUGUCUCGACCAUUUCGAGACUCCUCGUCAUGUCCCCGAUCCCAUCCGGGACUCCGAACUCCUUCGGUACAUCAAAACUCAUAAUAUAACUAUCAUCGAAACCUUAAGCGUGCGGACCCUACGGGUUCGAGAACAAUGUAGACAUGACCGAGACACGUCUCCGGUCAAUAACCAAUAGCGGAACCUGGAUGCUCAUAUUGGCUCCUACACAUUCUACGAAGAUCUUUAUCGGUCAGACCGCAUAACAACAUACGUUGUUCCCUUUGUCAUCGGUAUGUUACUUGCCCGAGAUUCGAUCGUCGGUAUCUUAAUACCUAGUUCAAUCUCGUCCGGCAAGUCUCUUUAAUCGUUUCGUAAUACGUCAUCUCACAACUAACUUAUUAGUUGCAAUGCUUGCAAGGCUUAUGUGAUGUAUAUUACCGAGAGGGCCCAGAGAUACCUCUCCGACAAUCGGAGUGAUAGAUCCUAAUCUCGAAAUACGCCAACCCAACAUGUACCUUUGGAGACACCUGUAGAGCACCUUUAUAAUCACCCAGUUACGUUGUGACGUUUGGUAGCACACAAAGUGUUCCUUCAGUAAACGGGAGUUGCAUAAUCUCAUAGUCAUAGGAAUAUGUAUAAGUCAUGAAGAAAGUAAUAGCAACAUACUAAACGAUCGGGUGCUAAGCUAAUGGAAUGGGUCAUGUCAAUCAGAUCAUUCACCUAAUGAUGUGAUCCCGUUAAUCAAAUAACAACUCUUUGUCCAUGGUUAGGAAACAUAACCAUCUUUGAUUAACGAGCUAGUCUAGUAGAGGCAUACUAGUGACACUCUGUUUGUCUAUGUAUUCACACAUGUAUUAUGUUUCCGGUUAAUACAAUUCUAGCAUGAAUAAUAAACAUUUAUCAUGAUAUAAGAAAAUAAAUAAUAACUUUAUUAUUGCCUCUAGGGCAUAUUUCCUUCACUUCCAUGAUACACUUAGUAGUUUUUUUGGCACAAGAGUUGACGAGGUCUGUUUGUAUUUCUUGAGCUAUCAUUUUAUUGUUCCUUGAAGCAUUCUUGAGAACCACCUUGUUCGCUUCUGCAAAAAUCUCCACUAGCCAUUGCAUAAGCUCAGGAAAAUUACCUUUAUGUAGUGAAACUUCUCUCCAUCAUGUUCACGAAAAUCUAACCCUUGACAAAAAAGGAACCUCGGGCAUUAAAAGGAAUAUGUCAGGCCAGCUCUAUAUAAAACCUUGUCUCGUUUGAUGGUUGAACAAAAUGACUCUAUGAUUGUUGUGUUUGCUGCAAUGAAGAAAUUGUAUUUCUCUUGUGCUUUGUUACGUGCACACUGCACUAUUGAUUUCACCGACAUGUUUCACAAAACUAUCCUUGUGAUUCUAAUUUCUAAGUCACCCAUUCACCAAAAAUCUCCACCAACAUGCAAAUUAUCAUUGAAAAGAUAACAUACAAGCAUAAAGCACCAUCUAGUUCUUUACUAUACUCAAGCCAACUAUAAGACUUAAACCAUUUAGCUACAAAUAUUGUUGCACACCUCCGGUGGGGUGUUGUGGAAAAGCAUAUUUUUUCGGUCAACAAGCCCCUUUUGCAAUGUAUCCUCUUCUAAUCCUAUUCGGACCAUUAACAUCAUAAGUUGCGAUUGGCAUCCUCUUCCUAGGAUCAGAUUCACUCAAUCGAACAUCAUAAACUGCAUCUUCAAUGUCACCCAUUUCCUAUAUUUUUUCAGAUUAUUGGCUUGCUUCGUUCGCAAUAUUAGGUACUGUGAUUGGACUUCUGUUGAUGCCACUAAUAAUUUGCAGUUGUUGCGGAAUAUGAACUCAAGGGGAGCUCAUGGUGCUAUGAAGUUGAUUCGGUGGGAAAUUGUUCUACAUCCGCACUUGCUGCUCAACCUAAAUACAUGGGUUGGAUUUCUUCCCAACUUUAGUACAUAAAGUUCUCAAAUUAAUGUUCUACUACAUUAAAAUUGAAAUCCGCAAACAUUUUUUAGUACCCAAACAUUUUUCUAAUAUACGGUGAACAUUUUUCAUCUACUGAUUUUUUGAUAUAUGGUGAAAAUUGGUGUAAUAUAUGCUGGCAUGUUUUUAAAUACUACAUAUUGACCAUGUAGAUAAAAAAUUUAUAGUAUAUGAUGAACAUUUUUGUAAUAUAGAUGGCCAUUUUUAAAAUAUACAUUGCACAUUUUAUAAUAUACGAUGAGCAGUUUAUAAUACUAGAUGAACCUUUUUUGGAGUUCUGAACAUUUUUUUGAAAACAGCAGCCAUUGUACAAGAAAAAACCAAAACAAAAGAAAUGAGAAACCCAAAAACAAAAACAAAACAAAACAAAACAGAGAAACCUACAGAAAAAAACGAAACAGAAAAAGGCAAAGGAAGAACCCGAACUGGGCCAGCCGGCUCGGCGUGCCCCAGUGGGCCGUCGUGGCGAAUGCAACGGCUACAUGGGCCGCUCUUCGUGAAAGAGAAGGAGGUCAGUUCAUGGACCGCUACCAGUACACGGGCCUCGCUGUGGCAACACCCGCCGUGUACUAGUUUUCGCGGGAAUCCAAUGCCAAAAUCGCUCCCCGCGGGAACCCGACGUCGGUCUGGUGACUUCUGGAGCCUUCCAGAACACUCCACAAGCUCCCAGAGCCGUCUGAUCAGAUCAGCACGAAGCACGAACAUUGGCGCGCGAAGAUAUUUUCCUUCCCGACGACGCCACACUGCAUUUCAUUUGAAUUUCAAAAAUCGAAAACGGAAAACACUUUCUCUCAUCCCGAGGAGAGGCGGUUAGUGCCAGAGGAGCANNNNNNNNNNNNNNNNNNNNNNNNNNNNNNNNNNNNNNNNNNNNNNNNNNNNNNNNNNNNNNNNNNNNNNNNNNNNNNNNNNNNNNNNNNNNNNNNNNNNNNNNNNNNNNNNNNNNNNNNNNNNNNNNNNNNNNNNNNNNNNNNNNNNNNNNNNNNNNNNNNNNNNNNNNNNNNNNNNNNNNNNNNNNNNNNNNNNNNNNNNNNNNNNNNNNNNNNNNNNNNNNNNNNNNNNNNNNNNNNNNNNNNNNNNNNNNNNNNNNNNNNNNNNNNNNNNNNNNNNNNNNNNNNNNNNNNNNNNNNNNNNNNNNNNNNNNNNNNNNNNNNNNNNNNNNNNNNNNNNNNNNNNNNNNNNNNNNNNNNNNNNNNNNNNNNNNNNNNNNNNNNNNNNNNNNNNNNNNNNNNNNNNNNGCCCGCCACCCGCUUGCCUUAGCGUCCACGGCUCCUCCGGCUAUAUAACCCGCCCCUCACCCGCUCCCCCUCCGGCAUUCCAUUUCCGUCCCACCACCGCACCACCACCACUCCACCAAAACCCUAGCGGGCGAGCGAGGGAGAGAGAGACCACCCCGCCCGACCCCGCCGAUGGAGAGAUCCCGCCGCCUGCUGCUGGUGGCGGGCCUGCUCGCCGCGCUGCUCCCGGCGGCGGCGGCCGCCUUCGGGCAGCAGCCGGGGGCGCCGUGCGAGCCCACGCUGCUGGCGACGCAGGUGGCGCUCUUCUGCGCGCCCGACAUGCCCACCGCGCAGUGCUGCGAGCCCGUCGUCGCCGCCGUCGACCUCGGCGGCGGGGUCCCCUGCCUCUGCCGCGUCGCCGCGGAGCCGCAGCUCGUCAUGGCGGGCCUCAACGCCACCCACCUCCUCACGCUCUACAGCUCCUGCGGCGGCCUCCGUCCCGGCGGCGCCCACCUCGCCGCCGCCUGCGAAGGUACGCGCACGUUCACCGCCCUCCGUCCCUCCCUCUCUCUGUCUACGUGCAGAUUUUCUGUGCUCUCUUUCCUGCUUGCCUAGUACGUAGUGUUCCAUGGCCUCUCGGGCCGCUAGCGCUCCGAUUUGCGUUGGUUUCCUUGCUGUUCUGCCGGAUCUGUUGGCACGGCGCGCGGCGUCGGGUUCUCGCCGUCUCCCGUGGCGAGCGACCUGCGCAGCGCGCGCGGCCUGGCUAGCUUCAUACCGCUGUACCUUGAGAUACACGGAGCGAUUUAGGGUCUACUCUGAGUAUUUCGUCAUCGUAGGAUGCAUGUGCCGCUCGCGAUUGUUUCAUCGAUUUGAGAUCUGUGCUUGUUCCCGCGAGUUAAGAUGGAUCUAGCGCCGUACGCAGAUGCAGAGUCUGUUGCUCGAGUUACCUUAUCUACCGUCGUUCGACUAUGGUAUUUGCCUGCUUCCUUUUGGCUGGGUUUAUCGUGCAGUAGUAGUAGACAUGUGGACGCGUUCUUCUUAUUUUGUGCCGACCAUCGUCGAGAUACUUUUCCUGCUACAGCGUUUCAUCGCCUGCACCAUCCCGUUCGUGAUAGCACUUUUGUGUCAAACCGCAACGCAGCUUUGCUUUCUGCGGUAUCUUCUGCCUUGUUUGUCGCCUUGCUUGGUCAAAACUGAGAACUCUUGCUGUUUGAUCGACCGAGGGCAGAGGCAGAGCAAGAGCCUGCCGUGCUUUUGGCUCUGCAGUGCGUCGUCUCUGCCUCCUUUGCCAAACAUUUCCAUGUUGAUCCUCUGGGGGCACUGCUUUUUCGCAUGCGGUUUCCGUAGCCUUCCUCUUUCAUGAAAAAAGGUUUGGGUCAAAUCAAAUGGAUCGCCUAUUGGCAGAGCAGCAGCAGAUAGCUGGCUGUCUCACAGCUUUGGCAGAAUCGGUCUGUUGCCUGCCACCGUGUCUCUUAUCUUGCCUGCCACCGUGUCUCUUUUCUUGUUGCGCACGUCGUCACCUCCUCCUACUUCUUUUCCAGUUUUGUUUACUUUUGAUGAAAUACGGACGAACGGCUGGUAAUCAUUAACUUUGGUUGCUGUUGUUACUGUGGAUUUUGGACGCAGGACCCGCUCCCCCGGCCGCCGUCGUCAGCAGCCCCCCGCCCCCGCCACCGUCGACCGCACCUCGCCGCAAGCAGCCAGCGCGUGCGUACCUCUCCCUCUCGCCCGCAUCUCGCUCCGUAUUAACUGAUUGUGUCUGCAUACUGACGUGUGCUUUGGCUUUGGAUCUGUUUCGCAGACGACGCACCACCGCCGCCGCCGCCGUCCAGCGACAAGCCGUCGUCCCCGCCGCCGUCCCAGGAACACGACGGCGCCGCUCCCCACGCCAAGGCCGCCCCCGCCCAGGCGGCUACCUCCCCGCUCGCGCCCGCUGCUGCCAUCGCCCCGCCGCCCCAGGCGCCACACUCCGCCGCGCCCACGGCGUCAUCCAAGGCGGCCUUCUUCUUCGUCGCCACGGCCAUGCUCGGCCUCUACAUCAUCCUCUGAGUCGCCGACCCCGAGGCCAUGGUCCGUCCAGUUGCAGUAGAAUGCUCGUCGUCUUGUUCCGUUUCAUGCUUGUCGCCGUUCGAGGUUCGUUUCUGCAGUCCGAUUGAGAAGAAGACGGUGGGUUUUGAUCGCGUCCCGAGAUUUCUGUUGUCGAUCGUAGCGUCCUGGUAGUAGUAGUGUCUGGUAGCAGCAGUAUGUUCAUGUGUCCUCGGUCGCCUAGUUUUGGUCUCAAGUAGUACUGUCUGUCCACCGUGUUUGCGUGGUCGCGGAGAACAUCAUUGGGUUUUGCGAUUCCUCUGGUCAGAUGAACCACUGCUAUGUGAUCGAUCGAUAUGAUCUGAAUGGAAUGGAUCAAGUUUUGCGUUCUGCUGAUGACGUGAUGCUUCUUCAGUUAUAUUCAUGCUCGAUCUAUUUCUGUUUCCCCCAUUUGAAUUUGUGGAGCAGCAGUUUGGCUUUCUUUUGUUCUGCUAUGGAUGAAUGCUUCUUGCAUGCAUCUUGUCUUUGCUUAAUUUGAACUGUAGAACGGAUGCAGUUCUGGUUUCUGCUAAUGAUGUGAUGAUUCUUCAUAUGCAUAUGCUUUACAUGUUCAUCUCUUCAAAUUUGUGCAGCAACAGUUUGUAGCUUUCAUUCGGCUCUGAAUGAAAUGCCUCUUGCAUGUUGUCUUUGCUUAAUUUGUUUUUCACGGGGAGCCUGCUGCAGCUUUCUGUUGCCAUGUUGUUUUCCACGCCAGGACAAAAUAGAUGGUGCGGUUUGAUUCGAUCCCGGUUAAUUGCUUGAUGCUAGCUUCUGAUCAAUCCCUUCAUCACGAUGUUCCGGAGAGCCACAUGGAACUGGAGGGGGGAGAUUCAAAUUCAUGCAUGCAAAUUUGUGUUGGUGUUGGGUCACGUCAAGCAGUCACUUUUUGCAGUAUCACUCUUACCAUUUUAUCCUUUUGUUGAAACCUCUCUCCUCACCCCAAAAGUUGAUGCAAUAGUGCUAUGCCCACCCAUGCUUUUUUCAUAAUCUUUUGAGCCCAAAGUCCCAUUUUACUAUCUGUUUGCAUAUUUGUGUUCCUUGCGGCGAGGGCUAUCAAGCAAGGCCUUUCUUGAAUAUAUUUUGGCAAGUUUUCAAAUUUGAAUUCUAAAAGAUGGUGAAACUCUAUGAAACAAAUCUCAAAGUAUAUGACCUUAUCACCAAUCCACCAUUCUACAAAUAUUUCAUUCUCCGGCAUCGCCUGCUUCCGACGGCGAUGCCGCUGUAGGUCCUCGCCGCCGCCGCAACUCUUCCGCUAGCUAUGUGGUGGAACUGUUGGCACUCCACCCUCAUUUCCCGUCUCUUUCUAUCGUCUCUAACCACCGCACAACGUUCCCUACGUGGGGAGGAGCAACAAUAUCUGCUUCAACUCUUUGGAGGGUAAAUUGCAUGGAUUUCAUUCACAAAGAAAAUAUUGCAUGGAUUUUAAGUCAAUUUUUGUGGCUGUGGAUCAAUCAACCAAACAAUUUGGGAGAAAAAAUUCAGCUUAGAAUCUGUAUGAGUGUGGUUGUGUUUGUGUGACCCUUGCGUGAGGAACAGCAGGGACGCCAAGGAGGGUUGCCAUGGACGCAACAAGCAGAGGAGCCGACGGGCCUCUGAGGAAUGCUGUCGCGGACGGCGGGGGAGAGUAGCGGGGAGGGAGCGCCCAGUGCUUCCACAAGCAGGAGAGUUGCGACAGCGUCGAUGACGAACGGACGGAGCACUCAUAAUUAGAAGAGUGUGGCGCUAGAGAAAAAGGACAAGGGGAUUUGCAUCUAAUUGCUUUGAGAUUCGUUUUGUCACGUGUCACCCGCUGGAGAAGGUCUCACGACCGGAGGCGUGCGACCCGGGUCAUAUAGGAAUUUUUUUCGUGCCAUCGAUAACAACCGAAAUUCUUCGUGCCGUUGAAAUCUUGAAUAGAUCUGAAUCAGCAGAAGUUACUUUAACCCCACCGUCGUAAAAAGAAAGGCAGAAAUCGACGAACUCAAGGAGGAUGGGAACCAAAGACAAAUUCCCUUGGCCACUUUGCAAAUUUUUAAGAGCUGUGUGACAUAAGUACUCAUCUUGAUAAGUUUUUUUUGGAAGAAAAAAGGAGUUUUAUUCCAUGUUAAUAGGUUUACAGUCCGCUAAUACAAAAUGACUAAUAAAAGGCAGAGCAUGAACUCAUCUCUCAUAAGUUGUUGUAUGACUAAUUGGGAAAUGACUAGGGACCAGUCGACUAAAUUUGUUUUUGUUUCCUGUUGUUGCAUGCAAAGGAAUGGCCGGAUCUAGAUCUUCUUCUUCUAUCUCUGAAAAUACUGUUCAUCCUCUUCCUCUCUCAUCUCGAUCUGAACCACCCACAACCACCAACCGGACCGCCUGCCUCAUCCGCCCACGGCCAAGUCCACACCUCCCUUCCCUCGACCUCCUUCAACCGUCACUUGCCGUCGCCCCGACCAUCUCUCUAGCCCCGUCCGCGUUCAUUUUUUUUCUCUCCGACGGAUCCCCAUCAUCGCCUACACCUUGAACCUAAGAUAGGUAAUGGGGUGAAGCCGGUGAGCCCCUUGCUUCUCUUCGGCGAGGCCUUCUCUCCGACGAGGCCCCUCCUUCUUCUUCAUUCAUUCAAAAUUGACUGGACUGAAUUUGAACUUCCAUUCAAAAUUGAAUGACCCAAAUUCAGCUGACUGAUAGGUAGCUAAACUGGACUAAUUGUUGUGUGACUAAUGGUACACGUUAUCUCUUUCUUGGCCACGAGGAAAAUGUACUGAAAAAGAGGCGCAACGCCCUUGUAUUUAUUUAUGUAUUGACAUGGGCAUGCCUUGGCAGUAGUAGGUAGGUUGGCAAACUUACAUCAUCGUACCGAGCCCGUGCCACUCUUAUUUAUUCUACUCCCGCAUACGCAUACGUACGAACCACUACACAGUACACGCAACACACGAGUCCAGCUCUCAAACGGCACAGGCUCCAGCACACCACACCCACUCAACAGCGGCCAUGCCAGCCUCAGCACAUCACAUGAAUAUUUUUAAAAACACCAUGUACAUGUGAAUCUUCCGAGGUGCUUCUCUGUGCUAAUAACGGUUGAACCGUAGGCGUCCACGAAGAACCCACAACUUUUUUUUCUUCAUUAUAUACUUUGUUUUUUUCUUGGUUUUCUUCUUUUUCUUCGGUUUUCUUUGCUUUUCAUUCAUGUGAUGGCGCGUUCAUGUGCUCUUUCAGAGGUGCUUCUGUGUGCUCGUAACGGUUGAGCUGUAGGUGUCAAAGAAGAACCUACAACCUUUUUUCUUCGUUAUAAUUCCUUUCUUCAUUAUACUUUGCUUUUCUUCGUUAUAAACAUCAUGUACAUUUUUUUAAUGGAAGUACUUUUUCUGAACUAUGCGAGAAUUGUUUUUCAAUUGUGUAAACAUUUAUUUUAAUUGUCACGGACAUUCCUUCAAUUGCCAGAAUUUUUUUCUUUGGAGUGUUACAUACCGUUUGGACUUUACGUUAGGCACGCAUUUUUUUACAUUGUAUACACAUUUAAAAAUUAUCGCAUACAUUUUUUCUGAAACACAGGACAUUUUUUCAUUAUAAGAGACAGUUUUUCUUAAGUUAUCUACNNNNNNNNNNNNNNNNNNNNNNNNNNNNNNNNNNNNNNNNNNNNNNNNNNNNNNNNNNNNNNNNNNNNNNNNNNNNNNNNNNNNNNNNNNNNNNNNNNNNNNNNNNNNNNNNNNNNNNNNNNNNNNNNNNNNNNNNNNNNNNNNNNNNNNNNNNNNNNNNNNNNNNNNNNNNNNNNNNNNNNNNNNNNNNNNNNNNNNNNNNNNNNNNNNNNNNNNNNNNNNNNNNNNNNNNNNNNNNNNNNNNNNNNNNNNNNNNNNNNNNNNNNNNNNNNNNNNNNNNNNNNNNNNNNNNNNNNNNNNNNNNNNNNNNNNNNNNNNNNNNNNNNNNNNNNNNNNNNNNNNNNNNNNNNNNNNNNNNNNNNNNNNNNNNNNNNNNNNNNNNNNNNNNNNNNNNNNNNNNNNNNNNNNNNNNNNNNNNNNNNNNNNNNNNNNNNNNNNNNNNNNNNNNNNNNNNNNNNNNNNNNNNNNNNNNNNNNNNNNNNNNNNNNNNNNNNNNNNNNNNNNNNNNNNNNNNNNNNNNNNNNNNNNNNNNNNNNNNNGAAGAUAUAAAAAAGAAUGAAAAAACAGAGGAGAAAAACUAAGGACCCUGGGCCGCCCUAACCAUCUCGCGCUUGAGGCUAUGCUCUAAUGCAGCUCGCUAAAAGCGAGAUAUAGCUUCGCCCCACAAACUUCUCGCCAUAGGCACUAAUUAAGAAGUAAUCUUUGCAAAGUUCUCUCCCACAUCUCAGAAUGCCACAAAUAGCACACUGCAUGUACGCUCCUUAGAAUGCCACAAAUAGCAUCUCAGAAUGCCACAAAUAGCACAGCGCAUGUGCGCUCCUUGUCAUAACCCGAAAGCUUUUAUUUAAAAUGUUCAAUCUACCCGAAAACUUUUAUUUAAAAUGUUCAAUCUCUUGAACCGUGUGUCAAAUUUCGGACCGGACUGUUUCGAUUCCUAACGUCGAGAUCUUUAAAACACCGUUUUCAUCUUUCAAUUUCUCACGUCAAGAUCUUUAAAACUAUUGACGUACUUUCUUAACAAAAAAUUGACGAAAAAAUUGAACAGUCAUUUUUUUUUCUCUUUUCCGAAAGAGAGACGAAUAUGCCUCUCGCGAAACCAAAUCCAUACCUCACUACAAGUAAACCCAUGCCUGUCGAGGAAGAGAAAGUUAAUUUUUUUUGGUUCUCUGAGAGACACGACACAAAUUCUUCUUUCAGAUGAUUUGCAUGUAACUAAAGUGGAGGAAAAUUCAUUUUUCAGAUGAUUUGCAUGUAAAUAAGUGGAGGAAAAAUCAUUUUUCAGAUGAUUUGCAUGUAACUAAAGUGCCGGAAAAUUCAUUUUUCAGAUGAUUUGCAUGUAACUAAAGUACAGGAAAAUACUGAAAAAGAGGCGCAACGCCCUUGUGUUUAUUUAUGUUGGGCAUGCAUGCCUUGGUAGAAGGUAGGUACGCAACUUACAUCAUCGUACUGAGCCCGUGCCACGACUUAUUUAUGCUACUCCCGCGUACUGACAAACUUACACACACAUACAAGUUCAGCUCUCAAAUGGCACGGGCUCCAGCUCACACAUUCACUUAACAACAGCGGCCUUGCCGCCUCAGAGCGCGGCGGUUGCCAUCCUCAGGAACGCCUCCACGGCUUCGUCGCCGCGCCCGCGGUCACCACGGCGGCGGUCCCCGCGCUCAUGCUCCUGCUGCUGCUCGGGUCCGGCGACGAAGCCCUCGUCCUGCUGAUCCUUGGCGCGGAACACCUCCUGCACCUCCCUCGCGGGCCUGCCGAAGGCGAGCUCCUGGGCGGGGUCGUCCAG